UACACUUUGAUACUAUAGCCAGGCAUGUAAAUAGAAUAAUGAUAUAUGGUUGUUACGUACCCGAAUCUACUCCCAGCAUGACCAGUAAGCUUAGAAAUGGUAAAUAUCAUGAGGUCUUCAUCUGCAGGAGCAGGAAUUGGUGUGAAAUGCGGCCAAUAAUAGGCAUGAUCGUAAAUGGGUUUGACAUUAGGGCCUUGAAGAACUGCCUUAUUCAACUUUCCAUCAGGAUUAUUGGGUGCAGUCACAAACUCGAUGAAAUUGGAAGUGGGAUCUGAAGUACUGUUCUUCCACAAGGAUGUGUCACCUGCAAACUGGAAGUCCACUGAUCGAAAGAAGUCUGUUUGUGAUUUAUAAACCUGCAAUAUGAGAAUUAGAACCCUCAAGUUCACAUGAAUAUAUAGAAUAUGAAUGAAGUUCAGGCACUAGGACGAACCGGGUAAAAGGGGAUUGUGGCAACAACUUUAGCUGGAGCAGAUGAAUUAUGGGGUGAGAGGGCAUGAACUGCAGCAUUGAGAAGCUGGGUAGAGCCGGCCCCGAAAACAAUGAAUCUGCCUGUUGUGUUAGCAUUUCCAACAAUGGCAUGUAGCUUGCGGAUGAGCUUCACUAGUUCUUGUGAGAUUGAGGAAUGAUCAUUGAAUGAAUAGCUCAUUCGAUGCCAACCCGCUACUAAUACUGCACUGCUAGCUGCAUGCUGCAUCCAGAAGGGCUCCAAGAACAGCGGAUCCCCGCUGCAGAGUGUCGAGAAUAAUCAAAUACUAUUAGUAUCAGUGAUCCUGUUAUGAAAAUCAUAAUGAGUAUGAUGCUGGUAAACAUGGUUUUGAGGGAAUUUAUCGGUGUGGUAUGUAUGAUGAGAUUAACGGGUUUAAAUGUAGAGUGACCUUACAAAUUCUCAUUGUAAGUAGCUUGUCACUUGUCACUUGUCACUUCGUGGAGAAAUGAUAGUCAAUUGGAAAUGCUCUCUCAUUCAUACCCAGUUAGAAGAUUUUUCCGCGGAUUGACUAGAAAGCUUAGCCUUGAAUUACCCUUGGUUAUGGGCACCAAUUUUAUUGAAAUUAACUCCUAGUUGUGCAAAACAUUGCAAGAGGAAGAUGAUUUAUGACAAAAAUAGCUGAAAAUAAUGGGUGCACUUUUUUUACAGAAUAGAGUAGUUGGCUAAUUAGAUUAUGUCGCUAAACAUUUUAUGUCUCAUUAUUUUGUUUUAAGCCUUGUCCUAUGACUUUUUAUCUUGAUCUCAUUUUUUUAUACCUCAAUUCCAAUUAGAUGUCUGGUCCUAAUUGUUUGUAUCUUCAUCCAAUAGUCUAAAUUUCACUGUACACAUUCAAUGACGGAUAUUGAAAGUCCAAUAGGUACCAAUUUGACACCUACCAUUUUCCUAACAUAUAAUAGAUAGUUUUACUCAAAAUUUAGGUCAUUUGUUUAUUAUAAUUAAGCUUGUUUGGAGUCUACUCAUUAUUAUUGGAUAUAUAUAUAUAUUCCAAGUAAUGUGCCAAGGAAAUAAGCACCAAGUAUUUAAUUUUUUGCAGUUAAAAUCAUAAUUGGGAAAGUUCGGUUAACAAAUAUUUGCAAUAAAUUUAAUUUAAAUUUAAAAGACUAUGAAAUUAAACUAAUUUUUUAGAAUUAUAAUAAAACCCUUAUAAAAUAAUACUCUUGGGACCCAAAAAAUUAUUGUCCAUCUUGGCCUGCCACGGGGAACUUGACUGUCCAUCUUCCACAACCAAAGACAAAAUAAAAUAAAGAUAAUAAGUUAAGAAAAAUAUCAUUUUCCCACUUGUCGAUUUUAUCAAAGAAGACAUUUUGUUCACAUGUCAAUUUCUAGGCAACUCUUUCCUUCUUCAUCCUUCAGUUUCUUUCAUCGUUUUAUGUAUUUGGCACUUUUUCUUGACGCUGUCAUGCACGAACCAUUCAUGAAUUAGACCUUCUACUCCUUUUAUGUAUUUAUUUAUUUUGUUUGUUAGUUAGUUUUUUCUUGACACUGUCAUGCAUGAACCAUUGAUCACCAUCACUUUGCCGGUUCAACCAGUUUAAUUUGAUAUGAUAGAAUUAUAAUAACCAAGAGGAAAUAGAAAGCUGAAUCCUAAAGUUUUCACCACAAUGAUCAAUAUGCUGGUUUCACAUAGGACCCAAUGCUGCAGAAAUAGAAGAAUUAAUCAUCGUCAACCCCAUAUUUGGUGAACUUCCAAGUUUUAGCUUUAACAUAGACUUAAAAAAUCUUCUAACUUUCCAGACUUUGGACAAAUCCAAUCAUUAAAUGAUAGAACUCUGAUAAUUAAAAUCCCAGUCUCAGAAAGAUCUGUAUAUACAUACCUGUCAACAUCUGCAACACAAGAAGCUGAAAAUUGAGAGCAAUCAGGGCCUCCAAAGCAGGUAUUGCACUCACAAACAGGACUUCCAUCAACAACCAAACCAUCCAGGAAUGCUCUUCCAUGGCCCGAGCAUGACACUGCUGCCACUGCUUCUGCUUCUUCUGCUGCCCUUCUGCUCCAACCCACCUCCCACUUCCCACCCACAUACACAUCUCUCCCCACAAAAAGUAUGUUAAGAGUCACAGAACACAGCAAACACACAACAUACAUGCAGCUUUGAAUCUUACCCAUGUCUUCUUAUUAGCUAAAAGACCCCCCACUUAUAUUUUAUUGUUCACUUUGUAAGAGAAAGAUGAACAGUUCGGAGGAUGAGCGUGGGACUUUUGACACCCUUUGUUUUUGUUUCUCUUUUUAAUUGUACAUGAAUGCAAAAAGUUGCAGUAAGUUGAAUGGUGUUAUAAAGGAUCACACCACAAUUCGUCUGCUUUGAUAUCCUUCUCAAGAUUUUCCAUCUUCCUUUUGUUUAAUAUUUUUGUUGUUUGAACUUUCUUAGUGAUUUUGUUUUUCUGCCUUUGGCGGCUUAAGGAAGAAAGUUUAAACUUUAAAUGUUAUCCAGUUCAAAGAAAUAGUUUGCACGUCAAUAGGGUGGAAAAUUCUAUGACAACGAAAUCUGAAUCCAUCUUAACCAUUGAAUGUUAGAAGUCAAAAGACUGAAUAUGCAUAUGUUCAAUGGCGUGUAAGAAUAUUAAUCGUAGAAUUUUCACUAUCAUAUUCCUUUUUGCUUUUAAAGGUUACAGCUGUGAAUAUAAUCAAUAUAUAUUUUUGGGUAAUUACUAUUAUCCAGAAAAAACUAAACCUUUGAAAAAUGGUCUUAUCGUUCUCUUAACAAGAUAAAGAUUGCUGACUUGGCCAAUAGUCAUUAAUUGGAGUCCCAGUCAAAGCACCUUUUUUUAAAAGGUUGUUCUUUGAUACCCGUACCUACCCACAUUUGACCCAAUAAUAAAAUAACAUGUUAUUAAAAAAUUUACAAAAAUUUAUUAAAUCGAUGAAGAUGAUUUAUUUAUGAGAAAUAAUUAUAUGUAUUUCAUAUAUAUUUAAAUAUUACAACUUUUUUUUAUAAUUUAUUAUUAAAUAUUAAAUAUAAUUUAUUAUUUAAUGAACUACAUAACUCUAUCUAAAAAAAAUUCUACCAACUACCCUUAUACAAAAAGGGAUACUAAUUUAAUAUGAAAAUUAAAUAAUUUCAACUACCAUAUUACAAAAUAUAUGAGAUGUAUUUUGAUAAAUUAAAUUUGAAGAUCAAGUUUGAAACUUUUUUAGAGAGAAAAUUUAAAAUUUGUAUUCUAUUAAGAAGAUGAAGGAUUUCAAGUGAUUACAAGUGUCACAAGUAAUAUUUGAUAUUUUUUUAUUUAUAUAUAAAUUUUGUAGGUAGAAAUGUUAUGUUAAAUAAUGAAUAUGUAAUGAUUUAUAAAAUAUAAAUUUUAGAAUUUUUUUAUGAGUUUAUUAUUAAUCAAAUUAAGAUAAUUUAAUCUUUUGUUAUCAAAUUGUUAUUAAUAUUUUUAUAUCAUUUUUUUGUGUGUUCAUAGAUUAAAUUUGAAGAUGAAGUUUUAUAUGUCUUGAAGAAGACAGUAUAUGAAGUAUGUCAAGUGAUUAUAAGUGUUAAAAGGUAACAUUUGGUAUAUAUUUUUUUUUUCAUUUAAAUGUAAAUGUUGUAGGUAGAAAUGUCGCGUUAAAUGACAUUUAAAUAUGUAAUUAUUUAUAACAUUUAGAUUUUUUAAUUUUUUUUAUGAGUUAUUAUUAAUCAAAUUGAGACCAUUUAGUCAUUUGUUAUGAAAUCGUCAUCAAUAUUUUUAUAUUAUUAUUUUGUGUAUUCGUAGAUUAAAUUUGAAGAUGAGGUUUUAUAUAUCUUGAAGAAGGAAAACAAUCAUUUUUGUCUCUUGGGAAGAUAUUAUAUGAAAAUUUCCAAUUUAUUACAAGUGUUAAAGGUAAAAUUUGAUUUUUUAUUUAUUUAAAUAUAAAUUUUGUAGGUGGAAAUGUUAUGUUAAAGAGGGUAUAAACAAUGUGAGAAGAGUGACAAACAAUGUGAAAAGAGGGUACGAAUAAUGUAAAAAAAUGGUACAAACAUUGUGAGAGAGGGUGCGAACAUUGUGAGAGAUGGUACAAACAAUGUAAAAUAGAGUACGAACAUUAUGAGAAAUGGUACAAACAAUGUGAGAAGGUGUACGAAAAUUGUGUGUGUGUGUGAGAAAGAGAGAAAGAAAGAAAGAAAGAAAGAGAGUGUGUGUAUGAACAAUGUGGGAGGUGGUACAAACAUUGUGAGAAAUGGUACGAACAUUGUGAGAGAUGGUAUGAACAUUAUGAGAGAUGGUACGAACAUUAUGAGAUGGGGUACAAACAUUGUGAGAUGGAGUACGAACUUUGUGAAAUAGGAUACGAACUUUGUGAAAGAAAGUACUAAUAUUGUGAAAUGGGGUACAAACAUUGUGAGAUGAGGUAUGGACAUUGUGAGAGGAGGUACGAACAUUGUAAGAAGGGGUACGAACAUUAUGAGAUGUGGUACGAACUUUGUGGAGUGCGUAUGAACUUCGUGAGAGGGUGUACAAACUUUGUGAGAGAUUGUACGAUCUUUGUGAGAGAUGGUACGACCUUUGUGAUAGAGUGUAUGAACUUUGUGAGAGAUGAUACGAACUUUGUGAAAAGGGAUACAAACUUUGUGAAAUGGGGUAUGAACUUUGUGAGAGAAGGCACGAACUUUGUGUGAGAGAGUAUGAACAUUGUGAGAUGAGGUACGAACAUCAUACGAACUUUGUGAGAAUGUGUACGAACUUUGUGAGGAUAUGGUACGAACUUUAUGAGAUAGGGUACAAACAUUAUGAGAGAGAGUACGAACUUUGUGAGAUGGGGUAUGAAUUUUGUGAGAGAUGGUACAAACAUUGUGAGAUGAGGUAUGAAUAAUGUGAGAGAGGGUACAAACAUUGUGAGAUAGGGUACGAACAAUGUGAGAAUGGGUACAAACAUUGUGAGAGGUGGUACGAACAAUGUGAGAUAGGAUACGAACAUUGUGAGAAUGGGUAUGAACUUUGUGAGAAAAUGUACGAACAUUGUAAGAGGUGGUACGAAUAUUUUGAGAAAGUGUACGAACGUAUUUAGGGAUUAUAAAAUAUUACUCAUAUCUUUAUUAUAAAAAAAAGGGUUAUUUGGAUAGGUAACUCAAAAUAAAGGUAAAAUUGUAAAAGUAACCUCACCAGUUAAUUGUUUUGAGAGAUGACCUAAUUUAGACAUUUUUACCCUUAUUUAUUUCCCUCCAAAAACACAUAAGAUCCCCACCAAAUACAUGAUAUCCCUCCAAAAGCAAAAAAAAAACUUUAGUUUUACCUCUCUCAUCGGUACUACAUCUCUCUCACCAACACUAUGAGUACAUCCCUAUACACUAUCUCUGUAACCCACCAAUAAAAUUGAGUGAAGAGAAGCAGAAAAAAGUAGAGAAACAUAGAAGAGUAAGAUCCCCCACCAAAGACAUGAUAUCUCUCCAAAAGCAAAAUAUUUUAGUUUUACCUGUCUCAUCGGUACUACAUCUAUCUGCAUAUCUCUCACUAACAUUGUGAGUACGUCCCUAUACACCAUUACUGCAACCCACCAUAAAAAUUGAGGUAAUAGAAGCAGAGUAGAUUCAAAGAAAAACAUAUGGUGAGGGCAAAUGAAGGUAUGUAAACCCAUUUGGGAAAAAAAAUUACCUUAGUUUUGCUAUUCUCAACAUUAUUUGGUUGUAGGGAAAAAAUGAAAAUUUUAGAGUAAACAUGAGUGAAAUUUUUUGUAUAAAAGAUUUGUAUGAAAAGAGUAAAGUUUGUAUUUAACAUGUAAAAACUGGACGUAACUAGUGCUAAGUUCUUUAUAUAUAAAACUUGAAGAUAGUUGAGUACAAUUCAACAUGUUCAUCGACAACUUUGCGGGAUUGAGUUACUUAUCCAAAUAACUACUAUUUUAAUAUUGUUUUUUUGUAUCCAUAAUUCAAUUUAUUUAUUUAUUUUUGUUACAAUGAUUGAUGAAGUGGGAAUAAUGCUUUUGUAUGAAGGAGAUUGGGUGCAAAAUGGAAACAUGUACUACUUUAAAGGUUGCCAAGGUAAAGGUAUUGAACUUAAGAAGACUACAACAUAUGAAGAAUUAUUGAAGAUCGUUUGUCACAUUUUAAAAGUAGAUCCAACAUAGCACAAUCUUUCAAUGAAGUAUGUAUUCAAUGGCAAUAUACCAUCCACUCCUAUAUAGGUAAGAGAUGAUGGAGAUGUGAAAUUUUUCAUUCGUUUAAAUUGUACUGAUGGUAAGUUGCCAGUUCCAUUGUGUAUCACAAUAAAGAAAAGAAGUGGCAAUCAUGGUUAUGAAUCAAUCAUCAACACUGAUUUUGGCUCUCAUACUUCAUCUGGGGUUGAGAAAGAAAUCAAUAUGGACCCAAUAUUCAAGAGAUGCAAAGAGAUCUUCCUAUUUUGCAGUUAAUUGAAGAGUUAAGAAAUUUACUUCAAAAAUGGUUUAUAAACCGUAAACAAUAAGCAUUGUCAAUGACAUCUGAGCUAACAACAUGGGCAGAUGGAGAGCUUCAUGUAAGGUAUAAUACAUCAUCAACAUAUGAAGUUGAAGCAAUCAACUUGAUGGAGUAUAUGUGGACCCGCAUUUUUCACGUGCGCCCCCACUCGAUCGGCGAGACUUGCUUUUCAUUUGUGAAAAAUUAUUUUUUGGAAAAAAGUUGGAGCCGCCACUUAUUUUAUUUUAUUUUUGAAAGGGAAAAUAAAACAAGAAAUAAAACCCUAAAAAAUGACUCCAUAAUUUUUGGAAAAGCGUGUCUUUGAAAAACCUGAGUCUAAGUCCGAGGAUCAGGUUACCUAUUGGGAAGGUACCUUUAAAAGGUAGCACCCCUCUAAGCCCUAAAGAGGUCUCUACUGACUAAAUUGAGGGAAGUGUGACAAUUAAUUGGUUAAUUAUGGAUACCUAAGUAAGCUGGGUGAUUCUAGAAAAUAGCAUGCUAAAUAAAGAGAUCAAUCACAAUAAAGGAGAGUUGGGGUGCGUACCUAAAUCACUUCUUGAGUGCUAUCACAAAACAUCAAAGGUUAGUGUAGGAAUCUAUCACACAACAUAUGUCUUAUCCGAGCAAAUCUAAUAUAUAUUUAAACACCCAAGAAUCACAUCAUGCAUGGAUGUAGUCACCAAUAGCAUACGUGUCUAUAGAAUUCUCAAAAAAAAAAUGAGAAAGAGUGCACCUAGAUAGCAAGCUAAAGCGCCUUUAUGGGAAGCAAGGUUAGCCCAAUAACAAAUAUAAAACAAAUUCAAGCAUAUCUCCAAGAGGAAUCAAAAUCAAUUAAAUACCAAACAAUCAUCUUUAAAAUCAAAAUUAGUGAAGAUAUCAAGAAUGUAGGACCCCCACCAAAGUCCAUAUUACUUUUGCACGAAUUGAUUCAAUGAAUUCCAUUGUUUGGAAUCAUGAAGUUUGUUCAUGCUUGGGAAAAUCAAGAAAAUCAGUUGAAAAUCAAAUAAAAUAGUGAAAACGCGUGCCGGAAGGAAAAUAGCAGCAAAAGAGUGUUGAAGUCUGGAUUUUAUUGCCUAGAGAAGGUCUAAAGAUGAAUUUUUCAAAGUUGAGAAUGUUUAGUUGAACAAUGGUUCAAAAAUUCAAUUUAAAACAAUAAGUUCCCAAUCAAAGAAGUGAAUAGAGGAGAAGGUGGAACGUCGGCCGGAUAGAAUUGCGGCUGUGAGAUAUCCGGAGAGAGUGGGAUGUCGGCCGGAUAGAAUUGCGAUUGUGAGACAUCCGGAGAAAGUGGGAUGUCGACCGGAUAGAAUGGCGGCUGUGAGACAUCCGGAUAAGAGUAGAAUAUUGGUCGGGUAGAAUUCCGGAUGUGAGACAUCCGGGUGGAAUUAGUGAGAAUUUUCGUCCGGGUGGAAUGAGCGAUGCCAUAAACUAAGAACCCUCAAGAACAAUGAUAACCUCUGCAUCUGUUUAACUCCAAGAAAACCCAUUUUACACAGCCUUUAUCAAGUUCCCAACUUUCUCAGAAUGCUCAUGAUCUCCAUAUCCGAGAAUACCAAGGUAAAGAAAGGGAAGAAAUGUAGAUACAGAAGCGCGCAAAAAGACCAAGAAAGAAAAGAAAAGAAAAUAAAACGGGAGAAAAUAAGACAGUCAGUGGGUAUUUUAAAACCAGAUUGGGACAUAGAUGGGGGCAAAACCCAUAGCAUCAAAUUCAAAGGUAAACUUAUAUUCAGAUUGCUUUCGGAUGGAACCAAAGACAUUAAAAGGAAUAUAUUAAAAUAGCAUAAACAUGCAAGCAAACCAGUCUUAACUAAUCAAAUUGUGGCCCUUGCGUCCACACCAAACGACAAGAAUGAAUCUUCAAAAAACUAAGAAGUCAAGAAAGAUUGAAACUAAAUGGUGAUAUAGCAAAAAUCUAGAAACAUACUUGCACGUUCUCCUCUCCAAUUGCUUGGUUCCAGGCUGCUGCACCUUUUCUCGACUGAGAAAUCUACUCCCCAAACCUUUUUCUGUCCACCAAUCUUCUCCUUCUCUAUACGUAUUCCAAGUCCCUCUUUUCUAUGCCUCCUUUCAGACGAUCCUCCUAUGCACCUUUUCAGACGAUCCUCUCAUGCACCCUUUCAGACGAUCCUCUCAUGCCCCCUUUCAGACGAUCCUCUCAUGCCCCCCUUCUUUUCCCUUUCCACUUAUAUUUGUAUCAGCCUCUCGAACCAAAUAUGCUAAAGAAAAUCCACUUUCCUUUCUUCUAUUUCCUUUCCUUUUUCGAAAAUCAAAAUGCUCCUUUAGGAUCUCUUAUUUCCAUAUGUAUGCAGCCACAUUAAUUCCUUUUUCCCUCACAAAAUAUUUUUCUUACGUUUUUGAGUGCACAUACCUUAGUGAGAUUUGAAUAGUAGCCCUCAUUCUCUUGCCAAACAAAAAAAACGAAAAUAGAGAGAAUAAAAACAAAAAGAGUUAGCAAUCUUGCAACCUGUCAAAGAUUAAAAUAAAAUAAAAAUAAAUAAAGUAAAACAAAAUAAUUGAAUAAAAUAGUCAAUCCUGUGCGGGCCAUGCAAGUCACACAAAAAGUGAGUCUAAAAGUGCUUAUUGGGCCAAGUGUGUCUAAAUGGGCCUAGAGCGGUGCCUAAUGGGCCAAGUGUACCUAAAAGCUAUCCUAAAAAAGAACGAAAAAAAAAAUCCUAAGUCUAAAGUAGGGCUGCCAAGAGUCACAAUAAGGGGUCGGAUAAUCCCUCAACCAAAAUCUUCGAGGUGGCUCAGAAAAGGGUAAGUUAUACGAGUAAUAACGGGCCGCUAAGGAGUUACUGUGGAGCACUGAAAACAAAUUUAAAGACAUGUGCUAAAGGGAAAAAAUUGAGGGUCUACAGUAUAAUGUUAAAUAUAAUGGUGCCAGUGAUCAUGUGAAUUUACAUAAUCAUUCAUGCACAUGUCGACAUUUUGAUCUUGAUCACAUACCGUGUUCACAUGCUAUUCUUUAUGCUCCAAAUAUUACACAAUGAACUCAUUAUUAUCUUCAUAUGCUGAGUCCAUCUAUCCUCAUGGACAUCAAAGGGAUUGGAUGAUAGCUAACAAUAUAAGCAGUAGAGUUGUAUUACCACCGAAAACAAGGCGGUCAACAGGAAGACUAUGGAAUGAAAGAAUCUCUUCGGGUGGAGAGAGUAAGCGCAGACGGCGGAGUGCUCGCUGUGGUGAUUAUGGUCAUAAUCGAAAGUCAUGAAAAUGACCAUUCUCCCUGCAUUAUCAUAAUGGUAAUAGUGGACACACUGAAAUAGGCAUGCAAGAUUGCUCCUUACAAUCAGAGAAUGAAUGAAACUGUCACUAAGCCAAUUUUAUGGUGAAUUUUUUGUUGUUUUUUGUAGAUGAUGAUUGGGCAUAUAAAAGAUUUGAUAUUUUAAUUUUUUUUGUAUAUUGUGAAUAGGGGCACAAAACAUGUAAUCGUACUUUGAUUCAGUCUCUUUUAAUUGAAUGAUGAACUUAAAGCUUAAAAAUGAAGUUUAAGUUCAUCCCUCAAUACCAACUCAUUUGAAAUGACAAGUGAACUCUUUAUUUUUUUAGAAUACUAGUGUCAUUAGUAUUUGAUCAUACAUAUUUGGAGAUGUUUUAAUCUUUUAUUGAUGUUAAGAUCAGACACAUUCUGUAUGUUGAGAUCAUUCAUAUAUACAACUUUAAUUGAGGAUUUUCACCUAAACUGCACUAGGGUUAAGUUUCUUUUACAAAGAACUUAACAAUGGCUAAUUUUAAGUUAUAAAAACUUACCUGAACAAAAGUGAAGUUAAGUUUUUUUACUAAAGAACUUAGUGAGAGUUAAGUUUUAAUUGAGGAUAUUCAACUGAACUGUAUUAGGGUUAAGUUUAUUUUCCAAAGAACUUAACAGUGGUUAAGUUUCAAUUAAAAAAAAAUUUACCUGAACAAAACUAAAGUUAAGUUUUUUUUUAAUAAAGAACUUAAUAGGAGUUAAGUUUUAAUUGAGGAUAUACACUUGAACUACACUAGGGUUAAGUCUAAUUUACAAGUAACUUAACACUCGUUAAAUUUGAAUUAAAACAAAUGUCCUGAACUUAACUGUAGUUAAGUUUUUUCAAUAACUAACUUAGUAAGAGUUAAGUUUUAAUUGAGGAUGUUCACCUAAACUGAACUAGGGUUAAGUUUAUUUUACAAGUAACUUAACACCCGUUAAGCUUGAGCAAAAAAAUAUGAGCUCUACAUUGAAAUAUAAGUUUCUAUUAUUACGAUUACUACAAUAAAUUCAAACUUGUUAACAAUCAUAACACAGUCACAUUUAUAUAUAUAUAUAUAUAUAUAUAAAUGCAACCAUUUACUUCUCUAGAUGUAUGAAAAACAUGUAACUAUUUAAAUAUGUGCUAUAACAUAGGAAUUUGCUAAACAAAAACUUCAAUGUCAUUACAUAAAAAUAUCUUCCACUAUCUAAUUACAAUCCAUUUACAAUAGUAGGAUCACAUAGGAAGUUCUUUAUGGAAAAAUAACUCCAAUGCCAUCUUCUCACGAAACCAAUCCAUUCGCUCACCUGUUAGUGUAUCCAUUGGAUGGUUGUGCAUCAGGUAUUUUGCAAAUUUGAUCAAAAACAUACCACAAUCACCACUACAUGAACACACAAAAUGUGAUGUUAUCAAUGUUAAAGGACCAUCCUUACUUAUAGAAAGCAUAUGGUAGAAGUAUUUUAGUUAUGCAUAUGCAUCAUCUAACUCAAUAUUUUAGUUGUGAAUAAUAUUUCAAUCCUUAGUUGGGAUCAUUCUUUGUCAUGACUUUUGUUAGAGAUUACUAUUUCAAUGUUUUGGUUUGCAUUGUAGGACCAACUAGGUCCCAAAUUUAGCAAAUGUCACUCAUGAUCUAGUAAAAGCAAACUAGGUUUAGACCUUGAUGGGGUGUUUCUUAAUGUUGGUUCACAUCCAAGGGAAAGCAGAGAUUUUCUUCUCAAUCUAUACAAGUAAAAUGGAAUUGUAGAUAGGAAAGGGAUGCAAAUUGUUUGAUGAAAAUUGAGAUUUUUAGUUAAACCAACUUCUUAUCCCUUGGGAAAAGAACUACAAAUAGGAAAAGAUUUUUUUUCCCAAACUACUAAAAAACUAAACACCCAAUUGGCAAAGACUACAAUGAUCUCCAAUUUUGUCAUUGAUAGAAAAGAAUGACUAUUCAUGUAUAUCAUAUUGGUUCCAUUACUUUAAAGUUAAGCAACACAAAAGGAGAAUAAUUGACAUGAAUGCUCAUAGAAGAAGUAUUGUUUUCACUUUUUGAUAGGAGCCAAAACUACUCUAAAAAAAGGGUUUUGAAUUUUGGAAAAGAAAUCAAAACCAUUCUUCCAACACUACUCAUGGAAAAAAACUUCAGCAACACCUUCAAUAUCUCUACCUAGGGGGUUUAAGGAAACAAAUUCAUCUUCCUAUGAGACGAAUGAAAUGUUUCUUCUAAUCACCAAGGAGGAGAUAUCAAAAUGAGGGCAAAUUCUAUUUCUCUUAUUAUGAUUCAACUCUUUAGAAGACCAAAUUGAUCAACACAUUUGUCACUUUUCUACUAGAUUUCUACACUAUAGAAACAGAGCAUUUGCCACAACAUCAUGCUUCAAAAUCUUAACAACUAGAGCAAAACAUCAAAAUAAAAUAGCUAAGAAACCUAAUUAAAGACAUUUUUUUUUUCAAUUCAACUAGAUAUCUUCUUUGGUAGACUAAUGUAUUUUCAGAGUUCAAAAUCAAAGAGGAAUAUGCUAACAAAUUUAAGAAAAACCCUUAUAUUUAUGCUUAACAAAAAGUGAACAUAUAAACCCAUUACUUUCUCCCGUAUUUUUUUUUAAACCAUGUAGAAAGAAAACACACACCUUAAGCGAAUGUAUGAAAUCAACAAAGAAAAGAAUCUAAAAAAACAAAUUAUUUCAAAGUAAUAAACAUACUUUUCAAGAUCCUUUUCGGUUCUCUUCCACUUUGUUCUCUUCAUUUCCCAUGUUUUUUCAAAAACUGGAGAAAAAGAUUCACACUUCAAUUAAAUGAAUAACCUUUUACACAGAUAAUCAACAAUAAUAUGCAAAUCUGCACACACAAAAAAUAACAAAAAACAAAAAAAAAAAAUCAGAAGACCAUAGAAUACGUUGCAGUCUACCAUUCAAGAGAGAACCCUUGGUUCGUUCUCUUUUUCUUCCUUUCUGCUCUUUUGAAUUUCAAAAGUUUCUCUUUUUUUCAAGAUCCUUUUCAGUUAUCUUCCACUUCAUUUUGUUUUCUUCCUUUCUUGCGUUUUUUCAGAAACUUGAGAAACAAAAAUUCACACUUCAAUCAAAUGAAUAUCCUUUUAGAAUCCUUUUUACAUAGAUAAUAAACAACAAUACGCAAAUCUGCAAAAUAUGUAUGUAUAUAUAUAUAUAUCAUAAGACCAUAUAGUGCGUUGCAGUCUACCAUUCAAGAUAGAACCCUUGGUUCGUUCUCUUUCUCUUCCUUUCUACUCUUUUGAAUUUCUCUUCCCUUCUGCUCUUUUGAAUUUCAAAGGUUUCUUCUUUUUUUUUUCAAGGGUAAUUUAGUCCAAAAUGGGUCAUUCUUCAGGUUUUAAAAAUGCAGAGGUCAUUUUUCCAAAUACCACUUUAUUUUUGCACUUUUAAUCAAAUAACCCUAAAAAAAAUGUGAAAAAAUACAUAAAAGAAUUUGAGAAAUCAUAUGAAACAUUUGAAACAAGGUAUAAAAUGAUAUAAUUUUUUUAAAAAAAAAACCAAAUUGAUGAGAAGUAUGACUAGAUAAUGUAAUUUUCUAACUACUAUUUCUUUUAUAUUUUUGUUCCUUCAUGGAUACAAUGGACAAGGGCAAAGGAAAGGAAUUUAUCAUCGAUUUGAACGAUGAAGACUUUGAUUACCAAUAUGAUAGCAAUGUGAAAACUGAGUCUGAUAAAGAGGCCAUACUAGUUUCAAAGAAGAUUUUGAAUGAUUUAACUCUUGAAGAUGUAUAGAAGAUGGAGUUCAACUCAAUAGAGGAGGUAGAAGAAUUUUAUAAUUUAUUUGCUAAAGUUAUCGGAUUUAGUGUUAGAAAGAAUGAUGUGAAACAGGAUAAAAGUCAAAAUAUAGUAUCUCGUAAGUGGGUUUGCUCGAAAGAAGUAUAUUGAUAAAGAUUGUGUUUGGAAAAUGAAAAUCGAAAACUAUAACCUAAGGCAGUAACUAGAGUUGGUUGUGAAGCAACAUUUCAGAUUGGGUUUAACAAACAAAUGAACAAGUGGAUUGUGAAAGAGUUUAUGGCCGAUCAUAAUCAUCCUUUGGUGGAAUAAAAAAAUAUCCAAUUCCUUCGAUCCCAUAGGGUCAUGAAAAAUGUAGAUAAGGCUCAAUUGAAUGCAAUGUGACGUAUUGGCAUGGGAACUAGCCAAAUUAUGGAUUACAUAGUGCAACAAUCAAGUGGAUAUAACAAUGUUGGCUUCAUAAAAAAUAUAUAUAUAUAACCAUGUUGAUGUUAAUAGUAGAGUUCAGAUAAGAGAUGGUGAUGCAGAGAGUGUUUUGGCUUACUUGUGUGGAAAGUCUAAAAUGGAUCCAUCAUUUUAUUACAAGUACAAUGUUGAUGAAGACUACCAUCUAGCAAACAUGUUUUGCGUGAAGUGGAUUCAGCUACAUAAGCUUGUUCAUUAGGCCUAGCAACCACAAGUCGCUCGAUUUCCAAUUCAAGAUGGCAAACUAUAUCAUCAAAGGUCUUGACACUCUCAUUAUGUGUCAUGUUGACCACCAUGUGUUCCCCGCUCUUUAGUAAAGAUCUGAUGAUUGCCUCAACCUGUUACUCAUCAGUGAGGACAUGUUUGGAUGUCUUAAGCUCUCUUAUCAUUCUUUUCAUCUCCCUGAGAUGUUGUUUCAUUGUAUGGUUUAAUCACAUCUUGUAAUUUCCAAAUUUCAUUACAAGUUCUCUUAGCUUCGUAGUUGAAAGUCCACCAUACUUUUCUUUUAAAGCUUCCUACAUCUCAUGAGUAGUUUGGUAUACCUCAUACUCAAUUAAGAGAUCAUCUUGCAUACAACUUAACAACGUAAUGUGCUCUAAAUAAUUAUUUUUUCUUCCAGACCACAUCAACAAGAUAAAUAUACAUGUCAUAUCUUGCAUAUCAAAAUAUUUACAUUUUAUGUACAAAGCAUAAAAGAAAAUGUAAUAUAUAAAAGAAAAACUAAUUUUCUCCCUUGAAACUAAAAGGAACAAUGUUAGGAUUAUACACAAUGUCUUCUACAACUCUAGAAGUUGUUUUCAAUAACCAUAACCCUCUAAGAUUUUUAUGCCUGAUAGAAUUUGAAAAACUUGCAUUUCGUAAGUUAGGAGAAAUAGAAAGCACUGUUGUUCGUCUAAUGGCAUUCUUCACAAAGCAUAUUUGCCAAUGUUCCUUGAAAAUAGCUAUUAAGUCAUCAAAAUACCUAUUUGUCAAACUAUGAGGCCCUUCUUGAACGAAUUCCCAUAUAUUUUCUAAAACUUUAUCAUCAGGUUCUGUUAAUGACAUUUUUAAAAUUCGCUUUUUAUGGCCUGACUGAAAAAUAUAUUACACUUUCAAACAAUUGAUCUUAUUAACCACAUGAUUCAUAUGUUCAUUUAUAGAAUGGCUAAGGUCCCUCUUGUAAUUCAUAAGCGUAUCCAAAAACGGCCAAGGUCCUCUACUCCUUAGUAUUCUCCUAGUUCUCUUCAUUCAUACCAUUUUGCACCUAAUCAAAAGAAUUUAAUUUAAUUUUAAAGAGUAACAUAUACUCAUAUUUUAAUUAAAUAUUUGAACAAAUCAAAAUUUAAUUAGAAAGACACAAUUAUUUAAAAAAUAUCUUUUAUUGUCCCUCAAAUUUUUAUUAUUAUUUUAUACACAAGUCAACAUUCAUCAUUUGAAAUAAACAAUACAAUACCAAUAAAUGGUAUUUUAUGUUAUAUCAAGUGUUGGUACUUUAGUGGUAAUAAGGGACUCUUUUAAAAUGAUAGACUUAGGUUAUUUUUUACUUCUACAGGAUUGCAGUGUUGCAUUAUUAUUUUUAUUUUAUUUUUUAUUUAUUAUUUUUUGCUUUGGAUUGGAGUGUUGCAGUAUCAUAUAUAUCCCAUAAUUUAUUUAUUUAUUUUAUUCUAAUAUCCAAUUUCCACUAUUGGAUACUAUGUAUAUUUCAUUUCUUUUUUAUUAUUAUUAUUUUUUACUUCUACAGGAUUGCAAUGUUGUAGUAUCAUAUAUAUCCCGUAAUUUAUUUAUUUUAUUCUAAUAUCCAAUUUCUACUAUUGGAUAUAUUAUCAACAUUUCAGUUUUAUUUUUAUUUUUUGAUAUAUCUGGAUUAUCUACAACAGGGUAGGUUCGAAUCCUAGGUGUUGCAUUAUUAUUUUUAUUAUUUAUUUAUUUUUAUUUUUUUACUUUUAUUUAUUUAUUUAUUUAUUUAUUAUUUUUUUACUUCUAUUUAUUUAUUUAUUUUAUUCUAAUAUUCAAUUUUUAUGUACAUUUCAUUUCUUUGUUUUUUUUUUUUUUUUGAUAUAUCUGGAUUAUCUACAAUAAGGUGAGUCUAUAGGUGUCAUCCCAUCAUUCAAUUUUUUUUUAAUUAUAAUAUCCCAUUUCCAUUUUAUUGGAUAUUUUUGUAUUAUCGGAUAUUACCAAUAAACUUCAUUAUUGAAUAUUAUCCUCUUUUCCAUUUCCCUGCAGAUAUCUAGUUCUUACGUGCAUCCAUUGCAUCCAUCAUUUUCACAUUCAAUGCACAUCCAUCAUUUACUCACUGCAUCCACUAUUAUUUUUUUUUAUUUUUUUUAUAAGAACUCUUCUUUCCAAAAACAAAUCUGAAUAAGAAACUAUGUUCUUUCUCAAAAGAAAAUAGAACAGGAAACAAACCAACAUGCUUUGAUACCAUUGUUUAAAAAAAAAAAAAAAUUCAUAUUAUCUUUUUAACAAAAAUCCAAGAUCCAAUAAAAUUGUUUCAUUGUUCAAAUCUUUAGCCCAGGUCUUGAAUGGAACCACAGUCAAAUCGGGAACCGCCUAGUUUCAUAGCACAAAAACCUUUCACCUACUCGUCAGAGAACUUUUCUUCUGAAGUUCUCUUUGUCCUUUUUUUUAAGAAAAAAAAAAUGCGAAAGUUAGAGAGUAGUGGGGAGGUUUCUGGGUAAUUUUUGACAGUUCCAACUCCCAAAAACUGCUCCCUAGAUCGGCAUAUUGGAUCGAGUUAGGUCAACCCAACUUGGGCACCCACCCAAUUCCAACAUAAAUUAUAUCAAAAUCAAUUUCAAACUACCAUAUGACAUAGGAUGAUUGAAGUACAUGUUCUCUCUUUUUCAGUUCAGCCUCUUUGGCCUGAAGUUCCCUCUCCUUUGCCUUUGUGUCCUAAAGUUGAAUGCAGAAGAACUAAAAACUUGAAAUGCAUGCUUGCACAGAAUGUACAGAUAACAAAAUGUAAUAUAGAACUUGUCAAAUUUGAUCUACCUUUGCACCAUCAAGAGGAAUAUCAACUAUUGCACCACGAUAACCAGGAGGUUCAAGGGGGAGUGGUGAAAGCCUAGAGUUGGCUGCAAAGAAGACACUACCAAGAUUCUAGCAAUCUCAACAAGAAUCAAAAUCGAUGAUUCAAUCUCCGAUUGGUUUCCGAUACUCGGAUUCAACAGAAAACCGCCAAAGUCUGAUUCUACUAUUUAUUUAGAAAUGAGAUUUCUUCCUUCCGUGAUCAAUCCUUUGUAUAUUCGCGGUAUCGCCGAUCUAAACCAUUUUGGCGUUAAACAGAGUUAUUUCCCCUAGUCUGCUCAUUUCUUUUCUUGCUCUCUCUGAUUUCUCCUCUCCUUUCUUUUCUUGCUCUCUCUGAUUUCCACUCAGCUCGCUCUCUUUGUAAACUAUCUUUUCACCAGAAAAUUCCCUCUCCACACCCUCAAACGUUUUUCUGAAGCUCACCUCUCUAAAACCCAGGAAAGUUAUAAGACCCAUCAGUUUACAUUGGUUCUCAUGCUGAAACGUGCCUCUCAUAGCUACAAAAUUAGUAGACCCAUCAGUCUACAUUGGUUCUCAUGCUGAAAUGUGGCUCCAAAGCUUCAGCACUCUUAUUACAAGCUUUUGGACAAGAUAGAGCGGGAAAACAAGAUGAGAUCAACAACCUGUAGCUUAUUUCUUUUUUUCUUUUUUUAAUAAAAAUGUCAGUUGGACGAUCUGGGUUGAACCACCUUCAUCCAAUGGCCAAGAAUGUUUUUUGGGUACUGUACCGAAGUGGUACCAUAGAAUUUUCCUUUGAAAAAGUCCACUCUCAAGAAAGAAUAGAUUUUUUAAUGAACUUUUCAAAAAUAAUUAUAUGGAUAUACGCUAUAACAAUAGUUUGAAAAAAUUUCAAGAUUGUCCUCAAAUCAAAACUCAACAAAAUUAUCUUUAAACUUUUCUCUUCCAUAACUUGUCAUCAACUUCUCAAAAGUCAAAACUGAUCAUGAUUAUCCCUAAAAAAAAAACAAAACAAAAAAAAAAAAAUUGAUUCGUAGCAACCAUUCCACGUGGUUUUUCUUUUUCAUUUUUUUCCCUUAUUAUAUUUUUUAAUUUUUUUAAUCUCGGCAUAUAACCCACAUUAUUUUUCCUUUUUUUUUUAUUCUCUUUCUUUAUAUUAGCUGAUGUUUUUUUAAUAUGCUAGUUACACCCAAGGAUGAAAAUAUCGGUAAUUACGGAUAUAUCGGUACUUCGAUUUUAUGGAUAUAUCGGAUAUAUCAGAGAUAUAUUGGCGGAUAUUCUCGAAAAAAAUAUCGAUAGGCUUAAAAUUGUUAAAAACUCAUGAAAAUGCAAGGAAACCCUCAUAAUAAUAUAAUUAGAAAUAUAAUAGACAUUUUAAAGUUGUUUUAUUGAAAAAUUUGAUAUACAUAUGAUAUAAUUUGCAAUAUUAGAUGUAAUUAUAUCAUGUUGAUCUAUAAGAAAUGUUAAUUUCGUAAUUGUUCUCAUUAUAAAGUCACAUAAAAUACUUCAUUUCAUUAAAUAUCAAUAAUUUGUACACAUUACAUUGCAAUGUCCCUUUAGUACCAAAAUGAGGAUCGAUGUGGUUCAAUGGGAUUGAUUGUUAAAGGAACCCCGGCUUGCUGUUGGAGACAAUAUUGGUACCAACUCAAUGAGUCUUGAUAAUAUUGGUUAUAAAUUCUAACAUGCCAUGCAUAUAUCUCUUGAGUCCUGCCUAUUGCCUCUACAUGGAUAGGAUACUCAAAGUUCACCCAUGUGUUAAUGCCAAAUCCUUCUUCCAUCUAAUAUGGAACUUGGUAUGGCAUUUGUCUGGAAGGGGAAUAAUGCAACAUACCAUACUCUUCAUCUGUUGAACUUGAAGGUUGACCAUAACUCAUCAUAUGAGGAGGGUAGACGUUAGCCUCAUUCGAGGAGUCACUAAAUUGAGUCCUUAUACUCAUAGAUUCAAAACUCCCUGAAAGUAACUCCUCGUUAUAUGGUUCCAUCAUUCGUUCUCUUCCUUUAUAAGGCUUCCCAAUAGCUCCUAUGCCUGGACCAACUCUUCUAGAGCCAUGGUCUUCAUCCUGUGUGCAGUGUGUGAAAUCAUUUUCACAAGUAAAUUGGUUGAUUGGAUAUUGACUCUGUCGACGUUCAUCAAUAUCUUCUCCCUCAUUAUCACCUCUAUCAUCAGUUCCACCUCUUGAACCAUCAUAACCAGAAGCAAAAGUACCUGAGCACUAGGUCUACUACUAUGGCCAACACUUGUGGAGUCAAUCUCUUGGUGGGAAUUCAAUGCCGCCUGAAGUGAAUCAUUAGUAUCUUUGCUAAAACUUUUAGAGUGAACUUCUUCGGACAACACACAUUUAAUAUUAACUCCAAAUUCUCGAGCAUGAGCAGCAAUUCGUGGAUCAAGAUUUCCAACUUCGUCAUCCAAGUGUAUAGGCCUAACCCACUGGAAUAACUGAUUAUCUUCUUCUUCACCCACCUCAGCUGAAAUGUCAAGAAGAUCAAGGUAAUCUUUUUCAGCAACUCGAUCAUUUCUGCCUCCAUAUCGUGUAACUUUAGCCUCAUAUUAUAGUAACAAAAAACUAAUUGCUCCAAUCGAGGGUAAGCCAAACGAUUUCGUUGCUUUGUGUGAAUGAAAGCAAAUGUGCUCUAAUUUCUCUCACAUGCAGAAGAUGACGCAGUUUGUGAGAGAACUUUGAUGGCUAACUUUCUCAAUGUAGGUGUUUGAUUCCCAUACAUAAACCACCAUUCAGCUACAAUGAAUUUGAUAAUCAUAUAAAUACUUAUGUGGUGAAUUUACAAUUAUGUUAAUCAAUUUUUUCCUAUAAAGACUCACCGGGCACCAUGGUUGACCUUGUUGCAAUUGCCGCUCGAUCACCGAAUCCUUUUUUUGCAUCUCGAAAAAGUACAAGCUAUGUAUUCAACAUUUAAUUUGUUAGUAAACAUUCAAAUAAAUUGAUGAAUGAAAUUAUUGUUUUAUUGACAAAAAUAACAGUUUUUUAUUCACCUCAUUUCCAAAUUGACCAAGCGCUUCAGUAGUUGGAUCUAAUUUUAUAAAAACAUCAUGGACAGCUUGAAGUAGUUCUAAAUCACUACCAACUCCACGUCCAUAUUGAAAUCUUGGAUUCAAGAAGUAUGCUACAAUAAAAUUUAGUAUAGUUAGUAUUUUUUUAAAAGAAACUUAAAUACAAAGUAAAAACUUAUAAAGAUAUAUAGUACUUAAAUACUUGCUGCAUGAAGUGGAUGUUUUAGUGUUUUCUCCUAACGAUCUUGUAUUAUUUUGAACAUCCAAUCUCCGACUCCUUGACGAAUAAGGUUCUCUUUCAUCACGUGCAUAAGCUCGUACACAAAUGGCAUUGUGGGAACAACUUCAGAAUCCACAAGUCGAAGCACCACGUAUAAUGGCUCAUAUAGUAAAACUAUAUUUGUCAAUCUGUCCCAAUAUGUAUGGUCAAACAAUAAUUGCUCCAAUUCUCGUCCAAGUUUUGUUCGACUGAGUUUGUGUUGUGCCCAUUCAUCACUCAUAAACAAUUUUUUCAAAUCAACCCUUUUUUUUAGAAGACUGUCGAGAGCAAUAUAAUUGGUUGCAAACCUUGUAGCUCCCNNNNNNNNNNNNNNNNNNNNNNNNNNNNNNNNNNNNNNNNNNNNNNNNNNNNNNNNNNNNNNNNNNNNNNNNNNNNNNNNNNNNNNNNNNNNNNNNNNNNUGGUGGAGACAUGUUUCGACCAGGAGCUACAAGGUUUGCAACCACACUACUACAAAAAUAGCUUAUGGUGUCACUAUUUACGGUGUCACUUUUAAAAUAAUGACACCAUAGGGUUUAUAAUUAAUAAAGGUGACACAUCAUAUAAAAAAAAUCUUCAAUUGAGGUAGUUAGAUGAUAUUAAUUUUAUAUUUAUAGUGUCAUUUUUUGGGAAGUGACAUCAUAUAAAAUAAAUUUUUUUAAGUAUUAUAACUUAAUGAGCUCACUUUUAGAAUUAAUAAUGAUGGAUACUAUAUAAAAAUCCCAUUGUUUCCAUAUCUCACCCACAAUCCAAAAAAUCUCAAUAUAUAAAUCAUAUAUAUAAAAUCAUGAUCUUCUUCAACCUUUUCUCUCACCCAUCCAUAGUCAACACGCUCAAAACCGAAAUUCUUCACUUUGUGGACUCCCAGGUAACCCAAAAUCUCUUGGAUCUAUCAUUUUUUUUUUCUUUUAUUAAUGUCAUUAUAUUAAUUGUUUCAACAUCUUUAUAUUAAGGUUUUUGUGAAUUGUGUUUUCUUGAGUUGUAGGGAAGAAAAAUUUAGGUUUAAUCUUCUAGCAUGGAAGAAAAAACUAUAGAUUAAUUGAUUUUUUUAAUCUAAACCAAACACAUGAUCAAGUCCUUAAAAAAAAGUGAAAAACAGGAAAAAAUGAAUGAUUUUUAAUAUGUAUUCGUGUGAGAAUGACAGGUACAUAAUUUUUUUAAGAUAUACUAUCACAUAAUCUUCAUCCUUUCUAAAAAACGAGAGAGGAAAAAAAAAAGAAUGAUUUUUCUGUUUGUAUCUAAGUGGGAAUGAGAUAUAGAAUUUCGUUGAGAGUAUCCAACCCCAAAAGGACCAAUUCGGGAAGGCAUGUGUGGUAUUGACGGGAGAUGAUAAGAUGGAAAUCAUAACCAUAGCCAUGUUCUCUCUGUGUCUUUCUAUCCUCUUCAAUUAAUUCAUGGGCAUAGAUAUUUUAUUUAGUUUUUAUAUUUAGUUUAUUUAUAGUUUAUUUAGUUUCUAAAAUCCAAUUAGUUAGAUAUUUUAUUUGAUUUUGUUUUUAUAUUUAAGUAUUUGAGUUUUGGAAAGUUUUUAUAUUUUGUUAAUAGAAAUAGAAAUUUUUAUAUUUUUUAUUAUUAGGAAUUUCUAUUUUGUUAAAUUGUAAGUAUCUAUCUCAAUAAGAGAUUAUUAAUAUUCAAAUGAAAGUGAUGAAAGAGAGUAAAUAUUUUAAUGCUCAAUUAUAUUUAAUGUUUUUUUUUUUUUNNNNNNNNNNNNNNNNNNNNNNNNNNNNNNNNNNNNNNNNNNNNNNNNNNNNNNNNNNNNNNNNNNNNNNNNNNNNNNNNNNNNNNNNNNNNNNNNNNNNAGUUUAUUUAGUUUCUAAAAUCCAAUUAGCUAGAUAUUUUAUUUGAUUUUAUUUUUAUAUAUAAGUAGUUGAGUUUUGGAAAGUUUUUAUAUUUUGUUAAUAUAAAUAGAAAUUUUAUAUUUUUUUAUUAUUAGAAAUUUCUAUUUUGUUAAAUUGUAAGUAUCUAUCUCAAUAAGAGAUUAUUAAUAUUCAAAUGAAAGUGAUGAAAGAGAGUAAAUAUUUUAAUGCUCAAUUAUAUUUUAAUGUUAUUUUUUUUUACAUAAGGGUUUAUUUAUGUUUUCAAUUUUGAAGUUCCCUUUCCAAGUUCAGCAACAAAAGUAGUAUCUAACCUUAAAAUGGGCAUGUGUGGUAUUGACAGGAAAUGAUAAGAUGGAAAUCAUAACCAUAGUCAUGUUCUCUCUGUGUCUUUCUAUCCUCUUCAAUUAAUUCAUGGGCAUAGAUAUUUUAUUUAGUUUUUAUAUUUAGUUUAUUUAUAGUUUAUUUAGUUUCUAAAAUCCAAUUAGCUAGAUAUUUUAUUUGAUUUUGUUUUUAUAUUUAAGUAGUUGAGUUUUGGAAAGUUUUUAUAUUUUGUUAAUAGAAAUAGAUAUGAGGACUUAAAGGGUUUAUAUUUAGGUAGUGCUUAAGUCAAGGAAAAUGAUAGUCCACUAUCUUGACCCUAUGCAUCACAAACCAUGUGAGGACUUAAAGGAUAUCGUAAACAUGUAAGUUCUUCCUAUUAUUUUUCAUAGUAUUAUUUUUAAAUAAAAAAAAAUACAUUCACCUCAAACACAUUUUUUUUAUUAUUUAUAUAUAUUAAAACAUAUAACAUUUACCUAUUUUAAAAAUGUACCCAUUGAACUUAUUUACAUAGGGCUCUUUGAAUAUCUGCAAAGAAAACAUCUAAGAGGGAGCCAUCUUAGCAACUAGUGCAGGUGACAUCCAAAAAUUUUUCUUUACACAUUGGCUUAUGCAUUUGCACCAUUUAUAUAUGUGAGUACUAAUGUUAUUUUAUAAUUGAUCAAUUAGUGUCCAAGACAAGAAGGAGGGUUCGAAUGUGACUACUUUGUUAUGAGAUUCAUUAAAGAGAUAAUUUUUUAUCCUACAAUUAUUGCUUCAAAGGUGUUACUUAUUUAAUGAAUUGUACAUAGUUUUAGGCUUCCAAAUGUUAUGCAUUUUAAUGUUGUUUUCUUAUUUGAUUUCAGUUUGGUAAUAAAAAAAAAACAUAUUCUCAAGUAGAAUUCGAUGAAAUUAGAGGAGAAUGGGCUACUUUUGUGCUACAACUAAUCAUGAAUCAUGUUGAUGCAUCAUGAUCACCAUGCAUGGUGAGUCCCUUAGCUACUACAUGAAUUUUUCCAUAGGUAUUGUAUAGUAAUAUUCUUUGAAUAAUGUUUCUAUUUGAAAAAACAAAUUAAUUCUUAGAUUUGUUCAUUUAUGAUAACAUAGAUCCAUGUUUAUUUUCUUCAAUAAAAAUCUCUAAAACUCAUUAAAUUUUGAAAUGCAGGUAUACACUCUUGGGAGGGUGAAAUGGAGAAUAAAAAGAAAGAAGAAGGCAACAAGAUUUUGGGUUUUUAAAUGCAACUCUUAUGUCAUACGUUGUAGGACAUAAACGUUACUUUAAUUGCAACUGAGAAAUUUAGAUUUUUAGAUGGGACUUCUAUGUCAUUUUAUGGUUAGCCAGUUUUAUGCUUAUGAAAUGGAGGUAUACAUGAAUCUUGGGAUCUUUAACAUUUCUAAAUCAUGUUUUGGUAUGUAUUCACUCUUCUUUUUUAGUUUUGAUGGGUUUGAUAUGUUGGACGUACUAUCCUUUUGUGAACAUUUGAUAUACAAAUAUUAUCAGAUGAUCAAUGUAUUAUGAGUUAUUCCAGAAANNNNNNNNNNNNNNNNNNNNNNNNNNNNNNNNNNNNNNNNNNNNNNNNNNNNNNNNNNNNNNNNNNNNNNNNNNNNNNNNNNNNNNNNNNNNNNNNNNNNGAUUAUUUAAUAUUCAAAAUGAAAAGUGAUGAAAAGAGAGUAAAUAUUUUAAUGCUCAAUUAUAUUUUAAUGUUUUUUUUUUUUUUACAUAAGGGUUUAUUUAUGUUUUCAAUUUUGAAGUUCUCUUUCCAAGUCCAGCAACAAAAGUAGUGUCCAACCUUAAAAUGGGCAUGUGUGGUAUUGACGGGAGAUGAUAAGAUGGAAAUCAUAACCAUAGCCAUGUUCUCUCUGUGUCUUUGUAUCAUCUUCAAUUAAUUCAUGGGCAUAGAUAUUUUAUUUAGUUUUUAUAUUUAGUUUAUUUAUAGUUUAUUUAGUUUCUAAAAUCCAAUUAGCUAGAUAUUUUAUUUGAUUUUAUUUUUAUAUUUAAGUAGUUGAGUUUUGGAAAGUUUUUAUAUUUUGUUAAUAUAAAUAGAAAUUUUAUAUUUUUUAUUAUUAGAAAUUUCUAUUUUGUUAAAUUGUAAGUAUCUAUCUCAAUAAGAGAUUAUUAAUAUUCAAAUGAAAGUGAUGAAAGAGAGUAAAUAUUUUAAUGCUCAAUUAUAUUUUAAUGUUAUUUUUUUUUACAUAAGGGUUUAUUUAUGUUUUCAAUUUUGAAGUUCCCUUUCCAAGUUCAGCAACAAAAGUAGUAUCUAACCUUAAAAUGGGCAUGUGUGGUAUUGACAGGAAAUGAUAAGAUGGAAAUCAUAACCAUAGUCAUGUUCUCUCUGUGUCUUUCUAUCCUCUUCAAUUAAUUCAUGGGCAUAGAUAUUUUAUUUAGUUUUUAUAUUUAGUUUAUUUAUAGUUUAUUUAGUUUCUAAAAUCCAAUUAGCUAGAUAUUUUAUUUGAUUUUGUUUUUAUAUUUAAGUAGUUGAGUUUUGGAAAGUUUUUAUAUUUUGUUAAUAGAAAUAGAUAUGAGGACUUAAAGGGUUUAUAUUUAGGUAGUGCUUAAGUCAAGGAAAAUGAUAGUCCACUAUCUUGACCCUAUGCAUCACAAACCCAUGUGAGGACUUAAAGGNNNNNNNNNNNNNNNNNNNNNNNNNNNNNNNNNNNNNNNNNNNNNNNNNNNNNNNNNNNNNNNNNNNNNNNNNNNNNNNNNNNNNNNNNNNNNNNNNNNNAAAGGUGUUACUUAUUUAAUGAAUUGUACAUAGUUUUAGGCUUCCAAAUGUUAUGCAUUUUAAUGUUGUUUUCUUAUUUGAUUUCAGUUUGGUAAUAAAAAAAAAACAUAUUCUCAAGUAGAAUUCGAUGAAAUUAGAGGAGAAUGGGCUACUUUUGUGCUACAACUAAUCAUGAAUCAUGUUGAUGCAUCAUGAUCACCAUGCAUGGUGAGUCCCUUAGCUACUACAUGAAUUUUUCCAUAGGUAUUGUAUAGUAAUAUUCUUUGAAUAAUGUUUCUAUUUGAAAAAACAAAUUAAUUCUUAGAUUUGUUCAUUUAUGAUAACAUAGAUCCAUGUUUAUUUUCUUCAAUAAAAAUCUCUAAAACUCAUUAAAUUUUGAAAUGCAGGUAUACACUCUUGGGAGGGUGAAAUGGAGAAUAAAAAGAAAGAAGAAGGCAACAAGAUUUUGGGUUUUUAAAUGCAACUCUUAUGUCAUACGUUGUAGGACAUAAACGUUACUUUAAUUGCAACUGAGAAAUUUAGAUUUUUAGAUGGGACUUCUAUGUCAUUUUAUGGUUAGCCAGUUUUAUGCUUAUGAAAUGGAGGUAUACAUGAAUCUUGGGAUCUUUAACAUUUCUAAAUCAUGUUUUGGUAUGUAUUCACUCUUCUUUUUUAGUUUUGAUGGGUUUGAUAUGUUGGACGUACUAUCCUUUUGUGAACAUUUGAUAUACAAAUAUUAUCAGAUGAUCAAUGUAUUAUGAGUUAUUCCAGAAACAUUAUAGAAAAAUGAGUUAAAUAUAAUAUGAUUGUUAUAUUUAUGGACAAAAUAUAAACAGGAUAAUCUUAUUAAUUCAUAAGCAUUACAAAAAUCAACAACUAAAACCAAUCAUAUAUUCCACAAUGAUUUACAAUGAUGUGAUACCACAAUUCAAAGGUGAUGCAUUUAAUGUGACAUCAUAACUCAAAGAUGAUGUAUUUAAUGUGACACCCUAUCAUCACUAGAAAUAUAUGGUGUCACUUCUGAAUGGGUCACCAUUUAUCUACUUUAGUGUCACUUCCAAAUACGUCACCAAUUGGUACCCUCUAUGGUGUCAGUGGAGAAGGUGACGCUAUAUUGUAGUGACACCUUAUGUUUAUGGUGACUCGUUAUAAAUGUCACCAUAUACCUUUUUCCUUGUAGUGCCAAUUAUAAAGACUGAUGUGUGCGCCACACACGGAGUCCAAUAUAAGUUAUACUUCUUCAUCAAUUGUUUCCUUGCUUUCAUGAACGCCGACUCAUUAUCUGUAACAAUUGGGACCACAUUUUCCUUACCGACUUCUUUGAUAAUAGUCUUCAAAAGCUCGUAUAUAUACUUGUGGUCUUUGAUAUAGUUCGAUGCAUCGACUGACUUAAGAAACACCGUGGUCCCUUUAGAAUAAACCAUGAAAUUAAUAAUACUUAAUUUCGUGGGCCCUGUCCAUCCAUCUGACAUUAUUGUGUACCCAUAUGUCUUCCAUUUUUCUCUUUGUUGGUUCACAUAAGCUUCCAUUUCUUUGUACUCCAUUUCUAAGUAUUUGUUCUUUAUUUCAUAUGGAGAUGGAGGUUCAAUUCCCAUUCUUGCACUUCAUAUGUAAAACAUGUCACAAAAUACUAUACUCACUAAAAGUAUAACACAAUAUAACAUUUGAUAAAUUAGUAAUUACCUGCUUGUUGUGCACCAAUAAUCAUAUUCUUAAAGUGAUGAGACUUUGCUUUUGCGGGUGCGACACUCUCAUAAAUGAAGAAUUUUCUUGUUAAGCGUCCCAUCGUUUCUUUAAUUGCGCCACCCUUGAAUAUAUCUUUGAUAUUUUUUUUCUUGCUGCAGAAGACUUGUAAAACAAAGGGGCAAUAGGGGGUGAAUGAUGCGAAUGUUGCAUACUCUGUGAUUUUCGCAUUGUCGACGGUGUACCAGUAGAAGACUCUCCCGGUUUGCGUUUGCUUCCUACAAUAUUCUCAUGUUGUUCACGUUCCCAAUUAGAUGCUUUCAAGGCACGAACCGCAGAUCGAUAUGCAUCCCGCUCAUCAGGGUGCAUAUCUGUCGGAUACAUAUACACAUCUUCAUCCUCAGCAUCUUCAUCAUCAUCAUCUUCGUUUACCAAAUGUGUAUGAUGAGUCCCCAUUGUGCCACGUAAUUGACUACGAAUGUCUUCAAUAUCAACAUUUUUCUUUGCUUUUGCUUUUUGUAUGUCAUGCACCAGCAAUCGUAUCUCUUCUUUCACUUCGGGCGGCACUCUUGGACACUUUUUGGUGUUGUUAUGCGAGUCCUUAUGCAUUAAAUGAGACUUGAAUCGCGUGAUGCCUCCACUUUUCAUUACCAACCCACAGAAAUUACAAAUUGUUCCAUUUCGAUUACCCUCAAUUGGUGAACAAUACUUCCAAGUCGGAUCUCACCCUGGCAUGGCAAAACCACCUUCACUAGCCAUGCUAAAUCUAUUGCAAGAAAAAUACACUUAAAUUUAAAUCUAUGUUAAUUAAACUAAUUACAUAAUUUAACUAAGUUAAUUUUUUAAAUCUAAAUGUAAUUCUAUGAUAAAUUUACUAAAUAUAAAAAUUAAUCAUAAUUGAAUAUGAAAAUAAAUCGCAAUAAUAAAAAAAAUGAGCAUAUUUAAUAUUCCAUAUAUAGUAGUUCAUGUUAAUUAAACUAAUUAAAUAAUUUAGCUAAGUUAAUUUUUUAAAUCUAAAUGUAAUUAUAUGAUAAAUUUACUAAAUAUUGAAAUUAAUCAUAAUUGAAUAUGAAAAUAAAUCGCGAUAAUAUAAAAAAUUGAACAUAUUUGAUAUUCCAUAUAUAGUAGUUCAUGUUAAUUAAACUAAUUACAUAAUUUAACUAAGUUAAUUUUUUGAAUCUAAAUGUAAUUCUAUGAUAAAUUUACUAAAUAUAAAAAUUAAUCAUAAUUGAAUAUGAAAAUAAAUCGCGAUAAUAUAAAAAAUUGAGCAUAUUUAAUAUUCCAUAUAUAGUAGUUCAUGUUAAUUAAACUAAUUAAAUAAUUUAGUUAAGUUAAUUUUUUAAAUCUAAAUGUAAUUCUAUGAUAAAUUUACUAAAUAUUGAAAUUAAUCAUAACUGAAUAUGAAAAUAAAUCGCGAUAAUAUAAAAAAUUGAACAUAUUUGAUAUUCCAUAUAUAGUAGUUCAUGUUAAUUAAACUAAUUAAAUAAUUUAGCUAAGUUAAUUUUUUAAAUCUAAAUGUAAUUCUAUGAUAAAUUUACUAAAUAUUGAAAUUAAUCAUAAUUGAAUAUGAAAAUAAAUCGCGAUAAUAUAAAAAAUUGAACAUAUUUGAUAUUCCAUAUAUAGUAGUUCAUGUUAAUUAAACUGAUUACAUAAUUUAACUAAGUUAAUUUUUUUGAAUCUAAAUGUAAUUCUAUGAUGAAUUUACUAAAUAUAAAAAUUAAUCAUAAUUGAAUAUGAAAAUAAAUCGCAAUAAUAAAAAAAUUGAGCAUAUUUAAUAUUCCAUAUAUAGUAGUUCAUGUUAAUUAAACUAUUUAAAUAAUUUAGCUAAGUUAAUUUUUUAAAUCUAAAUGUAAUUCUAUGAUAAAUUUACUAAAUAUAAAAAUUAAUCAUAAUUGAAUAUGAAAAUAAAUCCCAAUAUUCAUAAAAAUGAACAUAUUUCAUAUUCAAAAUAUAUUUGUUCAUGUUAAUUAAAUUAAUUACAUAAUUUAGCUAAGUUAACUAGUUUAAUAUAAUUCUAAAUGUGAAUCUAAAUCACAAAUAAUCAUCUAAAAUAAAUAUAUCAAUUUAUAAUUAAAUAAUCAAAUUAACCUAAAUUAAUUCAAUAAAAAUAUACAAAUUAAUUACAAUUGAACGUAAAAAUAACAUUAAAUCAUCCUUGCAAACAUACUAAUUAAUUAAAAAUACAUGAAUUAAUUACUAUUACAAACAAAAUUAAUUACAAUUUAAAACAAACAUACCUUACAAUGAUUGAAUAAUUGAGCAACCUUAGAAAAAAUUGGAGUACUAAGAGAGCAAAUGAUGAAUCAAAGCAAAAAUGGAUGGAAUUGAUGCAAAAUGGGCUAUUUAUAGACGAAAUUUGAGCCAAAAUAGUCGUUGGAACCUUAAGUUACCGUUAAAAUUUAAUUUUGGCCGUUGGAUCACAAUUUGGGAACAAUCUGGUUGUUGGAUCUCUUCAUUACCGUUGAGAUUCAAAUCUGGCCAUCGAAUCAACACGGGCGUGAUCUAGGCCAUCAGAUCACUUUGGAGAGAGAAGGGCGAUUUUUCACAAAAAAUCGGCGAUAUAUCGGCGAUUUAUUGGCUUUCCCAGGCCAUUUUUCCUUAAAAUCGGCAAUUUAUCCUUAAAAUCGGCAAUUUAUCGCUAAUCGCCGAUAUAUCGGCGAUAUAUCACCGAUUUUUUGGCCAUUUUUUGCGAAAAAUCGGCCCUCCGACAUAUCUCCUCGAAAUAUUGUGUCGCUUGCCUCCAAUAUAUGAUACAUCGUCGAUAUUUCGCAACAUUUUCCUCCUUGGUUACACCUUUUAUGAAAUCUUUUUAAUUCCAUUUUUUUCACUCUUUCAUCUUUUUAUUUUAAUUAUUUAUGAGCACUUUAAAUAUAAAAUAAUAAUAAUAAUCUAUAAUAAACAAUUAAUGAGAAAAAUUAAUGUAAAAAUAAAUACAUAACAAAUAAAUUUAGUUUUUUACUUAUGUAUUUUAUUUGAUCACGAUUUUUAAUUAAAGAAGAUAAAAACUUGGCUAUGGUUCUAAUAUUUUUUUUGUUAAAAUUUUUAAUAUAUAAAAUAAAAAUAAAAUACAUUUUUCAUUAAAAAUAUAUAUAUAUUUAAUCAUUUAUAGUAAUAUUCUCUUAAUUUUAUUAAAAAUUAAAAAUUUUGCAAACUAAAAUUAUGUAUGGAUUGAGAUAACCCUUGGAAAAAAAUGUACUACUUUUUAAUGAUUUCCUAGGGUACCACUUUUUUAAGAAAAAAGUUAAAAUGUGUUAAGAGUACUACCAUGGUGGAAGAAUGUAUCAUUCUUCUUUGAUUGUAUUUUUUUUACACUCCAGUAUUACUUUUUUCAUAAAAGAGUGGUACAUUCUUUUUCAAAUGUUGCAUCUAUUCUUAUGCAAUUUCAAUAUGCAAAAAUUUUAAUUUUUAAUAAAAUUAAGAAAAAAUUAAUAUAAAUUAUUAAAUACAAUUUUUUUAUGAAAAAUAUUUUUUUUAUUUUUUAUUUUACACAUUCAAAAUUUUAACAAGGAAAAAUGUUAUGACCACAACAAAAUUUUUAUCUUCUUUAAUUAAAAAUAUUAAAUAUUUUAACUAAGAAAAAAAGUUAAAAUCAGAGUGUAAGUUAAAUCCACAAGUAAAAAGUUAAAUGUCAUAAUCAUCAACUCUAAUUUUCACAUGAAAAUUUAAAAGUUUUAAAAAAUUACAAACAAAAUAAUAAUUAAUGACUCCAAAAUUUUCGCAUGAUGUUUCUCCACUACUACCCACUUUCCCACCCACAACACACUCCCCCCAUUCACUUCUUUCUUUUAUUUCUUUCUUUUCUUCCUCUCUUCUCUCCUCUUUUCUUCCCUUUUUUUCUCAUACCCACACAACCUCUCACUCUCAGUCGACACUGCCCCUCUCUCCGGCCAUAGAUCCGGUCACAUGCCACCCCCAACAUCCUGCUCUCCCUUCUCUCUCUCCCAUCUACUUUUCCAUUGUUGCCCUAUCCUCACGUUGGCUUCAUCCAUGGCAGCCUCACCACCAACAAUAGGCCCAUCUCCAAGCCUUGACACCAGUCACCACGCCACUAAUAUCGAAUCCGCCGCCCAUGGCUACUCAUCAUCAUCGUUGUCAAUCCACUAUGUACCACCACUCAUUGAUAGGGUAGCUUUUUUCUCCAUCAUAGGGCUAAACGAUUAAGGCAAUUCCUUUUAUUUUCACAGUAACUGUUUUCAGGCUCGUGUUUGUUUUGGGUUGCUAUUAUUUCCAUGAAUUAUAAAUAUGCGUUUGAAUUCGGGUUUUAGGCUUAGCUUCAAUAUCUUUUGGACUUGGGUUUAUUGGUUUUUAGAUUGCCGAUUUCGUGACUUAGGCUUCAUAUAUUGUGGAUUUGGGCUUUGCAUGGUUGUUGCUUUGGGUUCCUUUCUUGGGCUUUUGUUUUUGCAUGGGUUCGGGUGUUGAUGGAGAGUUGACAACUUGAAGACAACAAGAUUGACAGAGGCAGCGACAUUAACAUAAGGCGACUUUUUGGGAAAGAGGAAGUCGUCUCUACAGAGUUUUCAUGAUAAUUUUUUUUUUAAGAGUUUUGCUAUUUAUUUUUAAGGGGAGAGUGGGUAGAGUGUGAGAAAGGGGAAGGAAGGGUGCUCUCGAUUUUUAUUAUAUAUAUAUAUAUAUAUAUAUAUAUAUAUAUAUAUAUAUAUAUAUAUAUAUAUAUAUAUGUUCUUGUUUUUACAAUAGGUGAGAGAGGCGUAGGGGGAUCUUAGAUUGUUGGAGCUUGGAAGCUAUUGGGAUUGCACUGAAUGGGUAUAUCCAUCCUUCCUUGUACUCAUCUUUCCUUAUUCAUCUCUAUAUAUAUACCUAUGUUAUUUUAUUUUAUUUUAUUCAUGUACAUAUUUUCAGCUCAUCUAGUUGGUAUUUGUUGUAAAAUGCAAUAGAUAUAUUAAUUGCUAUUUUUAUUUCAAUAACAAUACUUGUAUAUAUUUGUUUUUUGUUGUUAUUUUAUCAAACUUUCAUGGAUUUAUUGGUUAAUGGAAAAUGCAUGCACUGAAUAUAGAAUUUUCAUUAUUAUUUUAUUUAAUUAUUCAUUUUUGUCUGUGUUUUUUUAUUUGAUUUUUUUAGGGAGUGAGAUGAAUAAAAUAACUACCAUUAAAAAGCCACCAAUAAUUUGUUUGUUAGAGAAAUAUGAUGAUAAAUUGUUUUUCUAAUAAAUUGAAAGUUUAUGUUGACAAAUAUUCAAUCAUGUUCAAAAAAAAAUAUGCAUAAAUGAAAAUCUCCUCAAAAAAAAAAAUUGUUGUAAAAUAAAAUAAUGAGAAAAAGAAAGAAGAGAAAAUAAACAAAAAUCCUCAAAGAAAAGUACAAUGGAAGAAAACCGAAUCAAUUUUCAUUAGAGGUCUCCUCUUUUAUAGGAAGUCACAAAGAGAUAUACAUCAAUAUAAAUGAAUAUCCACAAGUUCCCAUAAUCUAAUAAAAUCUCAUAUUUUAUAACACUCCCCCUUGGAUGAUCAUAAGAAUAUGUCUCAUUAAAACCUUAGUAGGAAAAAACCCUACAGGAAAAACCCUAGUAAAGGAAAAAGAGUACAAUAUGUUUUUAGAUUACUAUAACUGCCUCAUUAAAAACCCCGUUAGUAAAACCCAGUGGGACAAAACUUGGACAAAGGAAAAAAGAGUACAGCAUAGUGAUAUUCUUAUCAAUUAGCUCCCCUCAUGUUGACAUGAUUAUAUUCUCUCUAGUAGCGCAACAUGGAGAUCUUUAAGUUGAAGUAUUCCAAUGAGCUUCUUGAGCAUUGCAGUUGACAAUACCUUUGUGAAUAGAUUUGCUAAAUUGUCACUUGAUCUUAGUUGUUGAAUAGCAUUUUGAUCACUCUUCUGGAGUUGAUGAAUGUAAAAGAACUUAGGCGAUAUAUGCUUAAUUUUAUCACCUUUAAUGUGUCCUUUAAUUUGUGCAACACAUACAACAUUAUAUAACUUAGUAGCAUUACCUCUAAUGGAGGGUAGUGAUUACUACUCAAAAAGUACUAUUUCAUAGCUUGUAAUUAACUCUUUUAAACACUUUUGAGUAGUAGUUAUUACCUUUUAACCCAAUUAACAUAUUAAGGACCCUUGAAAUCAAUUCUAAUCAAAUUGUGUAAAGUUUUGGUGUUUUGAUAGCUUUUUUAUCACUAAAGCAAUCCGAGAUUGAGGAGAGUUCUUUGGAAUCCAUAAGCAAAUCCAGAAUGCAAGGAGUAUGGGAUCCUGCUCAUUCCACCCGGGUAGGAAUUCCACCCGGCUGCCGCGCACUUUCCAUCUGGAUGCUGCCACUUUCCACCCGGCUGACGCCACGUUCCAUCCGACUGCAAAAAGCUUUCCACCCGGUUGACGCCACUUCCAAUCUGCUGCCACCAUUCCACCCGGAUGUUCACAUCUGGAAUUCUGACGCCGGAUGGGAGAGGAGAGCGUUUCAACUUCCCCAGUCACACAUAUCCGGAUCCGCUUAAAGCGCUUACCCGGAGAGUUUCGCAGCCAUUUUGCACAGUGUCGCGGUGUUCUCCUGAAGCUUCCCGAUAUGUGCGACCGACAUUUUGAGAUAUUUUGAGAUAUUUUUGCUUUAGAUAUUUGAUGUCUAAAUCCCCUAACUCUCCUUGUAACCCACCAAUUAUAGGAUUCCUUAGUUAUUAAGUUAGGAAAAAAGAUGAAUAACCUUGUAGAUAUUAUUAUUGUAAUUUCCAUUUUAUAUAUCUCUCGAGAGCCUGUUCUCGGGAGGACGCAACUUUUGUAUAGUUUUAAAAGGAAGAAAAAUACAGAGUUUUGCUCUGCUUUUACCUUCUCAUUUUGAUUGUAUUUUCUUGCAAGCCAAACAACCUCUGAGGAUGUUUUCCCAGAGGAUGAGAGGCUAAACCUUUGGUUUCUUGGAGUGAAGGAAGCUAGGUAAAAAGUCUAGAUGCAAAAGGGGAAAACUCUCGUGCUUUAAAUACAGGUAGUUGGAGUUCAUAAAUGACUUUUAAAUCUAAAGUUUUGCUUUAAAUCCCUUAGAAUCAUUUUGAAUGGCCAAUACAUGAUAAGCUUUUAGGUCUCUAUGGAUACUUAUUGCUAGAUCCACAUAAGACCAUUAGUUAUCAUGUACGAGCCAUUGGAAAGUGGCUCAAGGUGAAGACCCAUAGUGUCUAAAGCCAUUAAUGGAACUUGAUUACCAUUUCUAUUGACUUUUUAUGGAUUAAAUCUUCAUUGUUAAACCUAUACUGGUUCAAGAAACAACCAUCCUUUAUGUUGUUGUCCCCAAUACGAGGAGAAAAAUCCUGAAUUUCCCAUUUUGCUUUCUGAACUUGAUCCUAGUAACCUUUAGCUCCGGGAGACUUUCUUUCUUCCAUUUUUACCUAGUUCUAUGUUAGUUUAGUUUCAAGCACCACUUUCAAAACAAAUUUUAUUUUCUUUUAAACUUUAAGUUUUUGACAAAGGAAAUCAUCAGAUUCAAUUUCUAAUCUUGAGUCUAUCACUGGUAGAGUGAAAACCCAUCCCAGAGUUCGACCCUAGAGCUGCUAUACUAUAGUAGCUUUACUAUGCUAGUAUAAGGUCAUAGGAUUUAUAAACAUUUUUUGAUUAAAAUACCCAACUGGGCACGAAUCAGGUAGUCCACAUGUUUCCAUUAUUUUCUUGAUUGAUCUUCACGAUAUUGUCGUACCAUCAUAGACAAAUACAUGUCUCAUUUGAGAUUGACCUUUGUAGGGGUCUGAAAGAUAGCUAAUAUCUACAUAUUCAAACAAUUGAGAUUAUGAUCUUUUCAAAAAACAUAAACACAUGUUAUCGUAGUACAUAAUUGGCUUUAUUCCAAUAUCUCUGAGUUGGUAUAGAACUAUAUCUCGCAUGUAAGUUAACAAAAAAUGCAAUAUUUAGUCGUAUACAAUUUGUAAGAUACAUCAGUGCACUAAUAACACUAUAAUAUAGUACUUCUGGACCAAGUAGUUCUUCGUUAUCUUCUUUAGGAUGAAACAAGUCUUUGUUCACUUUGAGUGAACGAGGAACUAUAGGAGAACUUAAUGAAUGAGAUUUAUCCAUAUGAAAGUGAUUUAAGACUGUCUUUGUUAUGUUGACUGAUAAACUAAUAUUUCGUUUGAAAAGUACUCAAUUUGCAAGUCAAAGCAAAAAUUUUAUUUUCUAGAAUCUUUUAUUUCAAAUUUACUUUUCAAAUAAUCAACUAUUCUUAUAAGCUCUUCAAGAGUUCCAACAAAAUUCAAAUGUUCCACAUAUACUAUAAUAAUUGCAAAUAUUCAACAUAAUGAAUAUGCAUAGACAAAUAAGGUAAUACAUACAUACUUCUCAUUCCAAAUAUUCAUUGAAGCGAUUGUACCACAUGCCUUUAGAUUGCUUAAGGAUCUUUGUAGCUUUAUUGAGCAUAUGCUACAAUGUUUUGAAUUAGUUGCUUUAGGCAUUUGAAAUCCUUCAGGGAUUUUCAUAUAUAUGUCAUUAUCUAAAGAUCCAUAUGAAUAUGUAGUAAUGACAUCCAUGAGACACAAAUCCUAUCCUUCUGAGACUACUAAACAAAUUAAAUAUCUAAAUAUGGUUACGCCCAUCAUAGGAGAAUAUAUUUACUCGUAAUCAAUAUCACGUUUCUACAAGAAACCUUAAGCUAUGAGUCAUAUAUGUUUUAUGUCUCAUGAUUUCAUUUUCUUAUUGCACUUUCUUAUAAACACUCAUUUAUAUCCAUCAAGUUUGAUAACUUCAGGCUUUUAGACAACAAGUCCAAAUACUUCUCAUUUUCUAACGAGUCUUAUUUUGUUGGGAUAUAUUCUUUCCAUUUUGGCCAAUAUUUUCUAUGUUGGCAUUCAUCCAUAGUUUUUGGUUUGGAAUCCUCAUUAUUUAUUAUGAUGUCAAUAGCCACUUGGAAAGAAAAUAUAUUGUCAAUGACAAGAGUAUUUCAAUCCUAUUUUUCUUCAUAUAUAAGUAGAUAAUUGAGAUCUCAUCACUAUUAGGUACUUGUACCUUUUCAAGAGCUAAUUAUAAAAUAUAUGCCUCUCUUAGGGCUACUUGUUUAAAUUGUGCCACUUCAAGGGCAACUUAAGACCGAUCAGUCAUUUUAACAACCCAUUUUAUAUGCAACCUCUUCAAGAGUGACACCUUUUAUAUAUUUUUCCUUGUGUUUUCCUCUUCUAGGCAAUUUGUUUACCUCUUCAAGGUCUAUCACUCUUCAAGCAUGCCUUAGACUCAUUGUUUAAUUGUCUUUUAAGGACAUCAAUUCGUACUAGAACAUUAUCAGUAAGUGAAAAUGAUUUUGUCACUUUCUUUGCAUCAAGGAAAGCAUUUGGUAGUUGAUUUGCAAGUCCUUGCAAAUGAAUAAUCUUUUAAACUUCUAGUUCUCAUUGAUUAGUACGAGGGUCAAGAUGAGUUAAAGUUAAUGCAUUCCAAAUAAUUUCACAUUGUUCUUCUAGAACUGACUCUUCUCCCCCUAAAGGUGGGAAAAUUGUCUCAUUAAAAUGAUAAUUUACACAACUUGUCAUUAUACCUUUCAAGUGUAUAGGUAGACUAAUCACUAGAUAAAAACUUCUGGUUUUAUAAUGUAAAUCCAUACAACUUUACAAAUAAUUAAUGCAUUAUCUUUUACCCCGGGAGACUAAGUUGCUCUUGCAAGAUUGUUCUGGAUCUAGCAUAGUAUAAAGUGUCAUUCACAUAGAAUCAAAUACUACUAGUGACAUAGUAUAAGCUCUUUUUAAGCCUUUAAUUAAGUUUAUAUCACUUGAUAUAGUAUUAACAUUGUUUAUCAUUAAUAUUCUGUAAUUAAUGAGACAAAAGUUUCAUCAAAAUAAUAAGUUAUAAAAUAUAUCAUAAAGACUUUGCCCUUAUAGAGCUGAAGAAAAAUUAUUAAAUGGGAGCAUUUUAGACGAUGAGGGAACCAUUUUUUUCUUUAGAGAGGGUUGUAGAGUGUCUGGGCAAGAAGAUUGAGAGGAGAAAUGGGUGUCUGGAGUGGUAAAGAUAACAGGAGUUGAAACAGAGCAGAGAACUAAAGAAACUGAAGAAGAAGCAGGGGAGGAGCUUGUCAGUUCGGUCCAGGUAUGAUUACAGCAUUCUUUAUAUUUUCUCAUUUCAGACUGUUCUAUCUUGUUUCCUACUGAUUUUGGGUUCAUUUGGAUGCUUGAAUAUGGACAUCAGAUACCAUGUAUGUUUAUGGAAUCUAUGACCAUUUUUAUGCAUUUUUUUUAUUUUUUUUUUUGCCUGAUUCUAGUCUGGCUCUUUUGGCUUUGCUUAUGAACAACUUGAGCAUUCCUCUGUUUUAUGAAUGACUUGAAUAUGGACCCAUCACUGAAUCUGAUUAUCAAAAAUCACAUUCUUGCUUCCUUUUUAUUCCACCUGUAUUAGCCCAUGGAUGUCACUUGAAAUGAGGCUCUAUACGUUCAUGAUUUUCUUGAUUUCCUUUGGCUAUUUCUUCAGUCCUUGCCUUGCUCUUAUCUCUUUUUUUUUUAUUCCCCUAUUUCUGGUAAGUUCGAGGUGUGAGGAUCUCAUUUGGGUUGGCCAUCUUGUUUGGGGUGAUUAUGAGAAAGUACUUUUCAUACGGUUGGGAAUUUUCGGGUGCCUGAAAAACUAUGUGGAUCGCAUUGGAAAGUCUAGAUAAGAGAAAAAAGACCUGGGUUUAAUUAUCGUGAGAACAUUAGUGUUGUGAAUGCUUUGGUCAAAGUCUCUACUGUGCUUUGAACUUGGAUUGUAAUCACUACAUCAAUAAUAGUAAGGUUCUUAAGGAGAUUGUGCUUGGUUCAAAUAGUCAAAUCAGAACUGCCUGUUACCGAAUCUGCUCUUCAAUGUUGGUACAGGAGAUAUUUGGUAUCUCCUCAUACAAAGGUGGAGCAUCAUUUGUGUCUGUCACGCAAAUUAUGUUCUUAUUUGGGCAGUCAAUCAUCUCGUCAAUAGUCAGAUAGAAAAAUACUAGCUGGGAUUGCAAGCAGCUACAACUCAGUUCACCCGUCUGCAAUGAGGUGAUGAAGAAGGAAAGUAGAUGAGUCUUCAAUGUAAAUGACUUACCACUGGAACAAGGCCAAAUUCUGCCUUCAGAUUUGUUCAAACUUCAGCACCAGAUUUUUGAAAAGCAGGAAUUUCUAAAACAUGCAAAUGAGGAGAUUUCGACAUGGGUCCUAUUGAUGUAAAAAUGCACCUAGCCUCAUUUCUAUCUCCCCGUCCUCCAUACACACUACUUUCUCUCACCUCCUCCUACCCAACAUACCCAUCAUACCCAUUAACAUGCUCGCCACUUUCAGUUUAUCCCCCAUACCAUACUCACCUCCAUUAACUUAACCCAUUCUUCUUACCCGCCAAACACCACUCAAUCCCCUUAGCACCUUUCCAUCAUGCAUUCCUCACUCUUUACUUUCUCCAUAAAUUCAGCAGCUCACCAGGAAAGCUCCCCAAAGACGCCAACAUUUCCACCCUCAUUCUCUCUCUACUUUCCUUGUUCCCUGUUCCUUGUUCCAGCCUCUCUCUCUCUCUCUCCAAAUUCACAGUCGGUUUUAGUUUUUCUAUUCUAGAAAUUCUCUCCACUUUCUUUGACACUAAUGUGGUGUGGGUGGUGUAGAAUCUUGAAAUCAUAACAGCAUAUCGAAAAUGUGGUGGAGGCAAAUCAUCAGCAACAGGAUGGGAGUUUCAUGGCAAGCUGGGUUGCCUAGAUUCUUCUCUAAAUCCACUCCUUCUAUAGUGAAGGUUGGAAUACUAGAGUUUCUUAAUGGAAUAAGUAAAGGGGUUGAGACCCAUGUGGCUAAGCUUGAAACUGAGAUAGGAGACUUUUAGAAGCUGCUUGUCACCCACACUCUCAGGCUUAAGAAACUCGGCAUUCCUUGCAAACAUCAGAAGCUGAUCUUGAGACACACCCACAAGUACGGGCUAGGAUUAUGGAGGCCUCGGGCAAAGCCCAUCAAAUCUCAAUCUUCUUAAGUAUCAUAAAGCUAGUCUUGUGAGGACAUGUGCAUGAGACGGUGGCAUUGGCAUAUGGUACAAGCUGCAUCAGAUUCACUUUAGAGAUGGAGACAUGGCUCCUCAUUCCGCUUUAUUUAGAGACACACGUGGCUUUCCUUCAUUCUUUCCCUGCUUGUUUUUUUAAGUCAAUUUCAAAAUCCCACCCUUAUGAAUCAUUCCCAAAGGCCACAUGUUCUCAAUUCUUUAAUUCUUCAUCCUUGCUUUCAAAAUUUUGGUAUCAAAAGUCCAACUUUCAAAUAAUCUCAAUUCCUUAAUUUUUUUUUCUUUUUUUUUUCUAUUUUAUUUUAUUUUUAUUCUUCCUUAGAAUUUUAGGUCACCAAAAUCCUUAUUUUAAUAAAUUUUGCUACCAUUUUUCUCUUCAACAAGCAUUUUUACAAACUUUCUUAAUUCUUAAUAAUUUUCCGAUUUUCAUGUUUUGAAUAAGUAUGAAUAAAAUUCUAUAAUUCCAAAUAAUUAAAUUUAUAGAGUUAAUUCAUACUAAAAUAAAUCGGGUUCUAUUAGUGCCCAACAUAUGUGAUUUUCUCAAUGAUUGAUUGAUUGUUAUGCUUGAUUUACUUAUCUUACUCUAUAACAUGCAUGUGAUUAUUAUGUGUUCGUUCACUAACCUUUGUUUUCCACAAAGCAAUUAGCUCAUUACUCAACUACACCAUCUGUCUUUCUUGUUCAUUCGAUUAUUUUUAGAUUGAUAUUCUUUUAGUAUCCAUGUUUAAUCAAUUAAUUGUCACACUUGCUUUAACUUAAUUAGUAGAGACCUGAUUCUUAAGGCUUAGAAGGGUGCUACGGUCUAUCAUCGUACCUUCCCAAUAGGAAACCCAACCCCCGAGCCCAGAUUUGGUUUUUCGCAGACUAUUUUUUCCAAAUAAGGAGUCACACUUAGGGGUUUCUUUCUUAUUUUGUUUGCCUUUUACAAAUAAAACAAAAAUAAAUAGCGACUCCAAAAACUUUUCAAAAAUCAAUUUUCAAAAUAAAAAGCGAGUCGCGCCAUUCGAGUGGAAGCACAUGUGCAGAAAUACAGGGUCCACAAUAUUAUUUUAUAUGACUCAAAAUUUUCAAUCAUAAAAAAAAUGUUUUAAAGAAAAUUGACAUGCAAAAUCAAAUUAUUAAUCAUAUGACCAAGUCAUAUAUUUCACAUGUAUCCAAAACAAAUAAUCAAAAUUUUCAACUCAUAAUUUCAUUAUUAAAUUCUCAAUAAGUAAAUCCAAAUAAAAGAUUCUAUCCAGAAUUUUCAAGAUAUAAGUACAUAUGUUAUCCAAAAAUCUCAACUUUUUAAUAUGAAACAAGCAUAUUUUGCAUUAGAUAUUGGAAAAUAAAGAUUAAGAUUAAUCUCAACUAUUAUAUCAAAAGAUUAUUGUGUAUUAAAUAACUAGAAUAAAAAAAUAUUUCAAAAUAUCACCUCUAACUCAAGAAUAUUUAGUAUAAAUAUCAUACUUUCAUGCAAUCCAAAAUUCUAUAUCUAUAUGUAAAAAUUUCUACUAAUGAUAGUAUAACUUCUAAUAAUAGGAGUUUAUAAAAAAAAUUAUCAAACACUUACCUAUUUGUAUAGCUUGAUAUACAAAAUAUUAAUCUUUUGAUAAUAUUUAAAUAUUAUCUAUAUGUUGGUUAUCAUAGCUUUAGGUUAUAAUAUAUUUCAUUAUAACUUUUGGUUAUAUGAAUUUCAUAAAGUUAUACAAAAUUGUUAGUUAACAAUUUUGUUGUUUAUAACUUUUAGCUAUAAGAAAAUACAUAUUAACAAUUUUGUCAUAACCUUUCAUUAGUACAAAGAAUAUUAAUUUUCUCAUUUUCAUAACUUAAUAAAAUAGAGAUCUCUCUUAUUUUAUAAUAAUUUGAGAUUAGAGAUCUCCAAAUUCAAAUAAUUUGCAAAGUUCUAUUAAUAAAAUAGAGAAAUCCCUUUUUAAAACCAAACAUAGAAUUUCUUUUUAAUAAUUUUUUUUUUCUUUUCCUAAAUCAAAUUAAAGAUAGAAUAAAUCAUUUUUAAAAAAUAAAAAAGAAUUUAAUUAUCUUUUGUUUAAAAAAAAAACAUUUUCCUAUCAAAUUCUUUUUUUACCAAUAAAUUUGGAAUGAAUUUUAAUACUUUUGUAAAUAAAAUUGUAACAAUUCUCUUCCUAAUAAAGAUAGAUAAGAAUUAUUUUCCUAUAAAUAAAAUGGAAUCCCCUUUUUUUUUAAUUUGUUUUAACUUCCUUGAAAAUUGAAUACAAAUAAAAUUAAAUCAAAACCUUUUAAUUUCAAUUUAUAUAUAUAUAAAUUGAAAUUAUUCAUUCCAAUUUAUUUUUAAUUUAAAUUAUUCUUUUUUUAAUCAAUUUAAUAAAUAAAUUUGCAUAAUUUUCUUGUCAUUUACCUUAUAUAUUCUUGUAAUCUAUUUUAUGAUUAUUUUCCUAUAUAUUGAUUUAUGUCCUUAAUCUUGGUAUUUAUGAUUAAUUAAUUAAUUGUCACGGUUCGCUUUAUUCAUUUAUUAAAGAUCGUAGAUAUAUAAGGGUGUUAUAAUUUAGCAUCGUACCUUUUUGAUAAAAAACCUGACCCCCAAAUCUAGACUCAAUUUUUACAUACAUGUCUUUUUCAAAUAAGUCACAUAGAGUUUUCUUUUUUAGUUUGUUUUCUUUAAAAAUAAAAAUAAAAAUAACUAAAAUAAGUAGUGACUCUAACUUUUUUUCAAAAAAAAUCAAUUUUUCAUAAAUAAAAAUCGAGUCUUGUCAUUUCAAGUGGGAAUGCACGUGAGAAAUGUGGGUCCACAAUAAUAUGACAAUGUAAUAAGAUUUACAAAAUAAAUAAAUAUUUUUUUAGCAAGAAUAUAGAAAAUCUUAUAUCUUAAAUCUCUAAAUUUGUUUAUUAUGUAAUUAUUUUUAUAUUAUAUUUGUUCUCAUUAAUUAUUUAUUAUAUAUUUAAAAUUUUCAUAAAUAAUUCAAAUCAAUACAUAUAAAAAUAUGAAAUUGUGAAAAAAAAAUUGAAAUUAAAAAAAAAAAUUGAUGAAGCUAACGCAUUAGAAAAAGCAUAAUGGUGAAAACAUUAUGGAGGAGAAAAAAAAAAGAAAAAAAAAUUAUGUAGUAUAGGUGGUUGCCACAUGUUAAUUUUUUUUAAAUAAAAAAAUAAUGAUGAGGAGUUUUAACUUGUCAUGUCAAAGUAAAAGAAAAAAAUAUAAAUAAAUAAAAUUUUAUGGUGGUUGGUGAUAGAAAGAGAGGAAACUUAAAGGGUAAUAUUGUCAUGUUUAUAAUUUUUACCAAGAGUACAUGAGGAUUAUUUUCCCCUAAAUACAUGCACUUUCAAUGUAAAAUGAUUAAACUUCUUCAAUAUUUUAUAUUUUUUAGAUAGUGCAUGUUUACAUCAUUCUCACCUUUCUUUACACCUAUUUCAGUAAAUUAUUAAUAACAUUAUAAAAAUAUGGUAACAAAUUCUCAUUUUUCAUACAUUAGUUUGUGCCAAGAGAUCGCCACAAAUGAAAAGUCUAAUUUUCAUCAAAUAAUUUUUAAAAAUAAAAUAAAAUUCAUCUUUUACAAAAAGAGACCAGGUGGUGUUGAGAUGAAUGAAAGUUGUAUUUUCAUUAACUAAUUUCCAAAAUUAAAAUAAAAUAAAAAUCAUCUUCUAAAAAAAGAGAAUAUUUUUACUUUACAAAAAAAAAAAUAGCAAACGAAUAGUCUUUGAAGAAGGCAAUUUUAGAAUAAAUUUCUCAAGGAAUAUUCUAGCAAAAACAAGCUUUUAUAACGUUAUCAUGAUUUUAUCAAAGAAAUACAAACAAAUUGUUUCUUAAGAUACAAUUUUCUUACUACAUUAAAUUAUUUUUCAAACAGAGAUUAAAAUAUAAAAAAAAUGCUUACUUUUGUUUUAAUUUAUAAUUUAAUUUUAUUAAAUAAGAUUAAAAAUUUAAAAAUAACUAAAAUUUAGAGGGUGUUUGUUUUUUUAGCUUUUUACUGAAAGCAAUUUAUUUUCAGAUUUUAAGUCGUUCGUUUUUGUACUUUUCUAUGACUUAUUAUAAAGUUUUUGUUGAACAAAAAAACCAAAAUAUUUAGCUUUUUAUAAAUAGAUAAAAGUAACAUAUUGAUUUUUCUUUAUUUUUUAAUGUUUAAUAGAAAUAAAAUAUUAUAAAAGCAAACAACUUAAUACUUAACACUAUUAAGCCUUAAAGUUCUAUUUAGAAUUAAGUAAAAAAAAACAAACACUACCUUAAUCUUUUUAUUCAUAAUUUGGAAACCAUUUUUUUGGUAAAAAUAAUAAAAAUAUAUAUAAAAAAUAUUAAUUUCUUAUAUUUAAACUGAAUUCAUUUAAAAUAAUUUUCAAGAUAAGAUUCAAGAUUAAGAUAAAUAAUUUUGUAAUUGAUAUUUAAUUUAAUAUAAAAUAGUAUUUAUUUUUAUGCUUAUAAUUUUUAUGUGUUAAUUAUAAAUGAUAAAAAAAAAUAUAUAAUUUAAAAAAAAAAAAAACAACAACAAAAAACAAAAGAACCUAACCCAUACUCACUUUUUGUACCCCUUCCACUUGGCUCUUCUUUCUUUCUCUCAACCCCACUAUCUUUCUCCUUGUUAAGAACCCUGGAUUACUCCAUUCCCAUACCUUAGAUCUCGUACGGUGCAUGCAUGUAUCCCUAAGCAUAUAUAAAUCUAUUUUAGUGGAAUAAAAUGACAAUAAAAACCAUUAUCUAGAAAUAUGAACCUCAUACUUGGAUUUGGAUGUUUUUAAAUCAAUUUAUUGUGGCAAAGAACAUGUCUAAAUAGUUUGGAGGUCUCAUACACCCAAGAUCUUCCUCCAAUGACUCGAACUACAAUAUUGGUACUCCAAAGUGUGGGCUUUGGAAGAGUGGAAACCUUAACUAUCUCUCUCUUUCUAGAGGUGAAAGAUGACUAACUAAAGUCAUUUGGAAACCCUAACCCUUUAAGGGGGUAUUUAUAGGGUUGCCCACUAGGCUUAAGUGACUUGAGCCUAUCAAGGACUAGGUCACUUAAUCUAAACCAAAACGUGUCCUAAUUGAUUAAUUAACCAUAUAAAACCAUCUAAUUAAUCAAUUAGCUUAAUCUAGAGACCUUGUUCAUUAUCUUCCUAUGCAGGCUUGUAUAAUUACCAAAACACCCUUAUGCACAACAAUGAACCUAGAGUUAAUCCAACCCUCGUAAACCAUGUCAUCAUGGCAUAUGAGCUCAGAGUGAGGACCACUAGAACCCAUUACUAACUCCCUUAAAAUCCAAUUAUGAAGUUGAUUCAACAUUCCACUAAAAAGAAUCAUCUGUACUCUAGUACCAUAUGUAAAUAACAAUAAGAUGAAACUCAAGUCUGUGACCAACUAUCCACUGCAUGCAGACUCCCCAUGAAUCGGUGUCUAUAAUCUAACAAGGUAGUGUUAUUACCUAUAAAGAUUACUUCUCAAGUCCUUGAGUUACAUAUCCCACUUAUUAUAUGAUCAACUUACACACUCUAGUUCUAAGGAGUAUAUAUCAAAUUCCACUAAAUGAAUUACUAUGGCUAUAGAUUUCAUGAUCACACGUCUUUUAAAUCACCCAAGGAAACACACCAUCUCAAUCUCUUGAGAUAUGAUGGUGUCUCUAUUGAGAAUACCUAUGGUCACUAGCUUCCAUCAACAUUAACCCAAUUCAUAGGGAUAUAUGACCAUUUUAGGGUCUCACCAAAGCCUCCUGUUAAUUUUGGCACAAGUUCAAUAUUUUCUCAAGGUUGAGAGUCCAAGCAGUAUAGUAGCCUAAUGAAUCAUGACAAUUAAUAACCUUCCAUGAUGAUUUACCAUAGGUCAUGUCCAGUGUGCAUCACAUGUAUUGUUACACUCACCAUGGGAAACCUAUCCCGAUGGUCAAGAAAAUUUAUCACUUCAAUUAGGAGGUGGUGCACUAUAGUCUCUAUUGGAUUACCCAAAUCCAUAAACCGACUAUGUACAACUUAUCUACUUACAAGGAACUCAUGACUUAUAUCUUUUGUACAACUCCUAAUACACACAAGUCAUAUACAAUAUAAGAGACAUGGGUUGAAUGUCCAAAUCAAUGUUAAUACACCAAAAGGAUAGUAAAAUAACAGUUAAGUCUAACUUUGUUACAUCAUAUCUAUCUUUUAGGGGCUCAAUCGCAACAAAAUUUCACUAGCCCUAAAAGCAAACUAAGCACCAUAUAAAGAUUUUGCUCCAUAGUCAUAUCACCUCCUUAUACUAUCUCACAAUAAGGUAAUACUUCAUCUUUAUGUGUUUCCUCUUCUAAUGGUACUUUUAUUUUUUAAACUAUGCCAUUGUUCCAUUGUUAUCAUAUAACAGGAUUUUAGACAAUAUAGCUAAGGGAACUACCCAUAGACUAAAAGGCUUCCUUUGUUACUAUAGAAGCAACAAAACCACUUAAAAUGUACACAUACCCAAAGAUAGACCUAUAAGAAUCCCUAUCAGACUAAAAGUCCAAUUUCCCAAUACGAAAUGAGUACUAACUCAUCUCAAAGACUUAAAAAAAUAUAAUACCUUGUUCUCCAAAGAUACUUGAGUAUAUGUGUGACAUCUGCCCAAAACUCUAAUCAAGAAAUGGACUAAUAUUCACUCAUUAUUCCUACAACAAAGCAAAUACUUGGUCUAGCAUAUAGCAUUGCAUACUUAAGGUUGUCCAUUAUAAAGGCAUAAGAGGCCUUAAUGCAAUCUCUCUCCAUAGAUGUCUAAGGACAUUGAUCCUGAGAAAGACAACUCCAAACUCAAAGGGUAACAAAACCCUUCUUGGAUUUCUGUAUCAUGUACUUGACCAAAUGUUCAUCAAUGUAGGUGACAUGGUGCAAUUUUCCAAUUCUUGUAGUCUUAAAGGACCUUAACCCCAAGAAUGUAUUAACUCUAGAUUUUUUUUUAGAACUGAGUAAACUACUAGAUCUUGACUAAUGAUAAUAUCUUCGCAUCAUAUCCAAUGAGUAGAUUGUCAUCACCUACAAGAUCUUAGAACAUCACCACGCUUCCCUGUGCCUUCUUAUAUACACAAGGCCCUUUGAUAUGAAAAUGUUUGGUUGUUAUAUCUCAUAAAUGAGACACAAUGCAAUAUAUAAGAGUAAUCUGAUGGAUUGAGUAUGACUACUAUUGAAAAGGUUUUCCAUAGUUGAAACAAAGUUUCAAACUAUAACCUUUAGUUACAAUCUUAGCCACAUAAAACUCAAGCUUUCCAUCUACUCUUAUGUUCCUCUUGUAGGCCAACUUACACCUAUGGGUUUUAUCCCUUUAGGUGCUUCUAUAGGAACUCAAACUAUGUUAGAAUACGAAGAUUCUAACUACCUCUUCAUCAUAAUCUAUGGGAUAUAAACCUUCCACUAUGAAGUAUUGGUGUACUAGAAAUCAUAGGAAUGAUAUGUCUUUAACCCUUUGGAUCCAUAGUAUACUAAACAAUGUGGGACUAUCUUCUAAUAUAUCCUUAAAUCUAAACAAAUAUCUUCUUAUAAUCCCGACUAUAAAGGUAAUAACCCCAAAAUCUUCUUAGAUAUCCUAUAAACUGAUAUACCUAUUAAGAAAAAGAGGUAGUACACAGUCUAUAAGACAUAUCCUCAAAGGAAUAUGAGAAAAGAUGAGAAACUUAUCCACAAUCUCACUAUGUCCAUCCAAGUUUGAUAUCUUCUUUCCACCUCUCCAUUUUACAAUAGAGACCUUAGUGCACAUAACUAGGAAAUAAUUUCAUGCUCCAAUGGAAAAAAUCAAACUCACUAGACAAAUCACCUUAAUCUAAUUGAAGUGACUUGUUAUGUAUACGCAAUAUGUUAUCCAAUCUCGCCUUAAAUUCAAUGAAUGUAUCCAAGUCAUUGGAUUUCCUAUGUACAUAUCCAAACCUAGAGAAAUCAGCACUAAAAGUGAUGAAAUACCCAUACCCUCUCCAUCCAUAGACACUCAAAGUUUCAUACAUGUCAGUAUGCACUAACCCUGAACAUUCCUUGACUUUAGUUCUCUUAGUCAUUUUACCAUUUAUACAAAAUUCGCAAAUUGGUAGAUCUUUUAAAAUGAAAGAGUUCAAACUUUACCGAUCUUUGGAUCCUAUUUAGAUUAAUAUGGCCUAGGUCUAAAUACCAAAUGUUUAAUUAAUGUUAGGUUCAAUCUUGAGAUCUCACUAUUCUUAUUACUUGGAAAAGUGAUAAUGGAAUUCACAAAAAAGAAAAAAUAUAUUAUCUCUUACUAACAUGCACAACUAACCUUACAUUUGAAGUUAAGGUAAGUAUAAUCCCAUCAUUUAACCUUCUCACUUAUUAAAUAUCCUAUAAGGACUUACAGACAAUGGGUCUGGAAUCUAUCCACCAUAAAUGGUGAAAUCCACCACUAAAUAUUCAACAAUGAGAAAAUAAUGUAUACUUUCCUUUUUCCUUUAAGUAAAUUGGGGACUCCUUUUCUAGUGUCCCAAGAGGUUACAAAUGAAUUACUUGCCCUUGAGUUUGCUCUCUUAUUCCCUGUCUUGAACUUUUCUUAUUUGGUGUUGUUAUUCUUCUUCUUAACAAAAAAAAAAAAAAAAACUUAAGAACCUUUGACUUCCAUAUAAACACCCUAUAAUCUUUGAGAAUCCUCUUGGCCACCUCGAAGGAAAAUGGUAAGGUCUUUAAGAUUAUAUGAAUAUUGGUGUUCAUAACAAUCUUAAGAGUAGUUUGUCAAAGAUAACCUACCCUUAUCACCAAAUAACCAUUCAAACUAGAAAGAGAAUAUCCAAGUCUCUAAUAAUAGACAUGUGUUGCUAUUGCAACACAUUAUCCAAAGAUCCAAGUGUUAGACACUUGGUCUUCUGAUUCAUCUAAUACCACCUUAAUAUAUCACUCUUUCCUUUUGCUAGGUUAGUCCAUAAGGAAUAACUACCUCUUCCUAAAUUAGCUUCUAUAUAAUUAGUUACUAUAUCCAAAAUAAAAUUAGUUCAAUUGAUUAGUUAGGCUUGGUUUAUUUUGAGAAAGACAAUGAUAAUACAAUCAACAUGGUAUCUCUAAAAAAGAAUAUAACCAAGCAUAUGACGUAAUUAAGCAUUCAAGGCAUUUGGUAAUUAAUUUAGCAAAAAUGUAGUAUUAAUAGUUGUUUAGAAAAUUUGCAACAACCUAAUAGUCAUUCAAUUAUGACUUUCUAUAGAUAUUGUUCAAUGUGUAAACCUUCUUGAUGACUACGACAAAUCUCUCCACCAUUUUGAAGGUAGUGCAUUACAAUCAAAGUCUAUAAACCAACCAUGACUACUUAUUGCUUUGUAAGGAAUUAAAAACUUAAAUCUUUUAUACAGUCUAAUUCACUCAAGUCAUGAUGUACAAUACAAGUGGUAUAAGCCUAAAUACUCAAAACAAAUAAAUAAUGCAAGCACGAUAGGAAAAUAACUGAUAUCAUAAAUAAUAAUAAAAAUUGUUACAUCAUAUCAUAGUUCUAAAGGUUGUAUCUUUACAAAUUGUAAUGUGACAAUCUAUAUAAAUAUAAAGAGAUUUUAAACAACAUAUGGGUGAACUCAAAGUUUUCCAUCCAUUGAGAGGCAAUGAGCAGUCGCAAAGAGACUUAUUCAUGGCAUGUUCAUAAUUAUAGUAAAUAUUAUGUAAACUAUAUGUGAAGGUACUAGUAUAUUAUCUCUAUCAAGAUGGUUUUCUUUCAUUCUGAAGUGUCAAUGAGUGUUAUUAUAUAAGUAAUUGAAAUAAAGUAUUUACUCUAUAUUAGUAUUAUGUGGACACUUCCAAAAUUCGUAUUUUUUAUCAACACAAAAACAUACAUUAUUUCUUUAUUAUUUUAUCGUUUCUUAGAGUUUUUUUUAAUAUUUUUAUCAAUUUUGAGUAAUUUCAUCCCACCAAUAUUUUUCCAGAAUUCUCAUCCGUUAUUUCCUAAAAUAUUUAUAAGAUCCGGUCACUGAUUUUUCUAUUUUAUUAAUAUUUUCAUCCUCAAAUUUCAAUAUAUUGACGUUACGCUCCCUUACACCUGUAAUGCCUUCUUAGUGCAAAGAAAAUCCAGAAGUAACCUGUCUCAAUCUACUUACAACAUUCAAUUUGGUUGAAGUACAUAUAUGUACACACAUCAUAUUCAAAGGUAGAACUAACAAUAUAGGAACAUUCUACCAACAAGCAAGGAAAUAUUUAGAUGCUAAUUAGCUCUAGAAUUUGGGUGGUCAUCCAGGGGCAUGACCACUUAAGAUGAUAAUACGUCACACAUACUCCAACUGAUCAACCAGCUGAAAUCAACUGACGGUUGAUUUCAUUCUUCGCAUACUACUUUUACCGCCAUUUUCCUCACCAACUAACUUAUUGAUUUGGUGCAGCAAUAUAUCAAAGUCAUCUUGGGUCUUGAUGAGGCUGAGCCGAACAUAGCUACUAUUAGCACUAAACAAAGUACCAUUACGCCCAAUGAUGCCAGCCUUUUUCAGGACUCUGUAACACUCUUUAUCUUCUUCUUUCUCGCACUUCAGCCAUGCAUAAGCUGCCAUGAGUACAGAAUUGUUCACUUGCAAAUUUCAAUAUCUUGUAAUUGACAGAUAAUUAAGCUCAUCAAGAUUAUUCAGUAUGAUUCCAAGUACUUAAUUAAAUAGUAGACAUGAUUAAAAGGUUUUGAUUCUUGAUGAAAAUGAGAAAUCACCUGGAGAAGGUCUCUUGACUUUGCCAGAAAAAGUGCAGUAUUGCGGUGAACUUUCCUGGACAGAGAAACGUCUGGACAUCAGCAAGGCCCUGUUCAAUUUUUCCCACCGGUCUUUCAUUGUUUUGUAACCGAAUUCGAAUAUUUCUCUUCCUCUCCCUCGAGUCACUACUUUUAAAAGCUUGAAAGCUCUUAACUGAGUGUCCCGGGAAACACCAUCGACGUUCAAACUCAUAUAAUUUGACAUUGUCUCGUACACAUCCUUAUCCUUUAUCAAUGCCCACCUGCAAAAAUAGCAACAAUAUUGUAACCACUUUUUUCUAGUAACCAAUAGUUUGUGGCAAAUGGGUGUAGUAAAGUCGUGUAAACCAUGGAUAGAGAUGUAAGAAAUAAUAAGAGAUACUUGGUGGAGCGAGGGGGCUCGUAGUUUAGGGUGUGAAUAGAAGGAAUGGGGAAACACAGAAUAUUUCAGAAACUCAAUAGUUGUGUUUGGUUCUCUUCUCUGUGAUGUUUGUAUGGUAUAGUAAAAAUAUUCUCUCCAUAGAUGUAGACAUGAUUAACCAAACCACAUUAAAAUUUUGUUUAUCUUUGUGUGGAAUGGUUUAUCAUUGUGUUCUUGAACUAACGUUGUUUACAUUAAAGCUUCCGUCAGUACAACAACUUCUAGUCUUUCUAGCCUUUAGAGUCUUUCACUUACUAAAAAUGUUAGAAACGCUUCCUAAAAUCAUUGUCAAAUGAAUUCUAAGUUAUGUGUAAGUAGAGUGAUAAUGCAUAUAUAUGGUUGUUAGGUACCCGAAUCUACUCCCAGCAUGACCAGUAAGCUUAGAAAAGGUAAAUAUCAUGAGGUCUUCAUCUGCAGGAGCAGGAAUUGGUGUGAAAUGCGGCCAGUAAUAGGCAUGAUCGUAAAUGGGUUUGGCAUUAGGGCCUUGAAGAACUGCCUUAUUCAACUUUCCAUCAGGAUUAUUGGGUGCAGUCACAAACUCGAUGAGAUUGGAAGUGG
RNAcentral lists this long non-coding RNA (50301 nucleotides) under Vitis vinifera (wine grape). RNAcentral describes it as "long non-coding RNA (VVIN_LNC006169)". Lineage: Eukaryota; Viridiplantae; Streptophyta; Magnoliopsida; Vitales; Vitaceae. The record is from RNAcentral.